UUUUUUUUUUUUUUUUUGCUCUAGGGCCCAUAAAAAUGUUGAGCCGCACUGUACAGGCCUACGGGCUCAGGACCUCCUAAUCAUAAAAAAUAUAAUAUUAUCCAAGCACAUGGAUGUUCAUAUAAUCAGAGACUUGGUAGCACAAUUUCACGUCAAUUUUUUUUUUUUUUUUUAAGAUUCACACUUCUAUGAAAGUUUGAUAAAAUUAAAACAAGUGUUAAUUACCAGCAAAUUCGAACACGCUAAAAAUUCUGAAAAAACGUAUAAGAACAAUGAGGAAGUGGAAGCCCCCUUGGCCCAUUAGUUGACUAAGUGUUAAUUAAUGCUUCUACACCAAGAUGUCUGGGUUUCGAGUCCCAGGUAUUGCUAUUUAUUAAUAAAUUUGCAGAUUAAAAGAGGCAAGUGUGCAGGAGAUCUCCAGCGAAGUACAAUUAUAGCCGUUCGCCAGGAUUCUACGCAGAGAGAGAAGUGUCGUCAGGUCGUGGAUCAUUGAAGGUGUCCGUCAAGAGCAUGGAGAAGGAAGGGUCGUCUGUCGUGGAUCUAAUAAGGGUCGGAAGGAAUUGUCCGUUGUAGAAUCGUCUAUGUAACAGUUCUCAUAAUUUGUAAUAAAUAAUAAAUCUAGACGUCAAAAAAAAAAAAAAACAAUGAGGAAAUAGAGAAUCUUUAUUGUGGGAAGAUCACUAUGAAGGAAAUAAGAAUAUAGUACAUGCAUGCAAUUGAAAGCCGAAACCAAAGUGAAUUGGAUCUCGGUUUAGUCUUUGUUUAGGAAGUCGAAUUCAUGUUACCUCAUGUUAAAGUUAUGGUUCAGUUCUUAAAUUGGGCCUUAGUUCUUUUAAGGCCCAGUGACAUCGGUUGACGAGCACUCUAGUUUUGCUUCAAUGAGCUUGGAAGAGAGUAAACGGAGAUGUAGAGAAAAUACGAGAUUUAUGCGCUCGAAUCAUUUUCUUCCUGAGUGAUGAUUUGUAUCAUCGUAUCGGUUCCUUGAGAGAAAAUGACAACGUACCCUACCAUUUAAUCUUGUAGAAAUCUUAUAAAUUUAAUCACUUAGUCUCAUGUAGUAAUGGUUUCAAACAAAAUUUUGCUUGUUCCUAAAAUUAAAAUUCAAAAUGUUAACAUGUUUUUAAAUAGAAAACAUUUUUGGUUUUUAAAAUGUUUUUGUAUUUAGUAAAAUAAAGUUUUUUGUUUUUGUUUUUUGUCUAACGGAUAUAAAGUUUUACUUCUCAUUUGGUGUAGCGGAGGAAGCAAUAAUAGAAUAGGUUUGGCAUGUGCAGAUUUACUUGCAAAGAAAGCAGCUACUGGACUAAGUUUGUGGAAUUUGUAUCAUUCAUGUCCCCCCUUUUUAAUGUCUCUUGUAAACUCUGAAUGCGUUUAACGUUCAUCAAUAAAGCAAUUAGAAGGAAAAAAAAAUAUAGAAUAGGUUUGGGAAUACUCUUCCCCGUGCUCGAAAGCUCGCUUAUAAAAGAGAAACUUCUCAACCUUAUUAAUCAAAUCAAUAUCAAUAAUAACUGUCCAAUACAAAAGAUGUAAGAAGCCUAUUUAUAUGAAAACAUGAAAACUUGAUAAACUUUAAAAUAAUCUUAUAAUUAUCUAUAAUAAUUAAAAAUAGAUGUAAAAGAUAAUGAUGAAAGAUAUAUCCAAAUAUCUCGCUCUAGCAGGUCUCGCCAGUCAAGAAAGAUUCGUCUUUGCUGCAUCAUCAUUUAACAAAUGAAGUUUGAUUAUCAAGUCUUUGACAUCAUUUCGAAAAAGAUGGAUGGUAAAUAUAAAUUUAUACGCAAUAAAAAAAAAAAAAUAUAGAAGAGUCUUGUUACUACUUGGAUUUACACGAUGUGCUUCUUUUACUUAUUUGUCAUACGAAAACAUUUCGGUAAUAAGUUUGUCUUUCACCAACACAGAAAUAAAAAUUGUACAUAGAAAAAAAAACAAAGUCUAUAACUCGUAAUUCAUAAAGCCUAUGCAUUACCUCUGUUGUUUUAAAGGGUAGAAGUAGGACUCUUUCCCGCUGGGAUCCAAUGGUUGGAGCGCAGAUCAAUGAUAUUCCGAAUCAUAAAUUUUAUACGCAUACUCAUUUGAGGACGAGGUGAGAGACUCUCUAAACGUCUGAAAUACACAUCGUUAACCAGUUUUGAGCUCGUCAAGCUUAAGGAUGAUUCGACAGAUUCCGAACCAUCAAGCUUUUUGCCGACAGUCUUGAGAAAGAGACAGACAGCUUCAAGGUUUUCCUCUGAUGGACACAUUUUCUCAUCAUCCCCCAGAAGUUUCUGUAUAAUAAAAGUUCAAUUACAAACACUAAAAAGUGUUAGCAAUGUUGUAUAUUUCAACUACCCUUUUUUUUUUUAUCAAAAUAAAAAUGCGUAAGGGAUGUAGUCCCCUCGGACCGGGAAUCAUAGCAGGUUAAUUAGUCAUCUGCCUUGCAGCAAUAAGAAAAAGUGUUACUUAACCUGAACAAUGUGGUGAACAAUCUUUCCUCGAAUCUUCCGCUUUAAAAAUAGCUCACCACACAAACGAAGAUUUCCUAGAGUUCGGAGUUUCGACAACCUUUCCGUGUCUCUCCGUUCUUCCUCCUGAUCUGGCGCGUUCAUCUUUCUAAUCUCAUUACUUAACUCAUCAGUUCCCUCAAACACAUUUUGAAUUGUAUUUAGCAAAACCCUCUUGAAUGUGAUUUUACUAGAUGGAAAAGUCGGCAUUUUGUCACAGAUAUCGCAGCAUAAUUGAGCGUACAUCGGGCAAAAGGUCGGCUCAAGGAUGGCUUUGUCGAAAAUAAGGGUUGUCACACUCUAAAGAGAAAGAAAAGGACACAAAUUAGCCAUAUUGACGUACCUAAAGAUAAAUAACGCAAAGAGAAGAAACUCAACACUUCUUAGGUUCUUGGAUACUCAACAAAAAAGGAAGAAAAAUAUUUCUUCAUUUUAAUACUUAGAUCAUAGAUCAAAUCAAUGUGUUAAUAAAACGCAUAACUAAAAGACCAUAUUCAUAACAAAUCAUAGUAAACUCCCAAACCAUGAAACCCUAAUCCUAAUCAGAAAACCAAAAUCAAAACCAAAAUUCAUGAAACCUAAAUCGAUUUUCUAUUAAACAUUUAAUAUUAAUGAGUUUUGUUUUUCCAAAGCCGAACUGAAUUCAAUAUAGAACUUUGUGUGUUAGUUGUUAAGAUAAGGGCAUGUACCUUUAAGAUAUCAGAUGUAAUGCAAGAUCUGGUAAGGUGGCUAAUGAGAGCAAGAUAUUUCUGUUCUGCUGUCUGGUCCAUUGUCCUGGACAAGCAAAGUAUAAAAAUCUAAAGAUUUGAUGUUUGGAAGGUAAAUAAUGGCUAUUUUGAGAAAUCAAAUGUCAAUUUAUAUUCUACAAAAAGAAAAGUAGCAGAUAGAGGAAUAAAAUUACCAGCUUUUUUCUUCCAAAGCCAGUGCUUUGCAUGUUAUCCAAUCUUGCAACAAUACUACAGAUCGGAAACAAACCAACUUAGCAUCUUCCAUGUUUUUUUCCGUCAUCUAGUAUAAUCUGUUGAGAUUGAAUCCUUGGAUUGUCCCUGCAAAAGAGAAAGAUACUAUGAGUGACGCUAAGAAGAAAAACAAAGAAGCUUCAGAGGAAACAAAGGUUUGUGCUUGAGAAGAAGAAGAUGAGUUGUCGAAGAAAAAGAAGAGACAAGAAAGUCAAGAGAAGUUGUGUUUUGUCGUGAGACAAAGAGUAAUGGGUUGGAGUUAAGCCCAUUAAGGAUUUUAGCAAAAAAAAAGCCCACUAAGGUUUAUGUUUCGGUAAAGAGAAACAAACAAGAACAAGAUAGUAAUAAAGAGAGAAUGAGAGAUCAAUGUUCGCAUCGUGCAUCAUCAUCCUCAGAGAUCCUAAGAGGAGGAUGGUGCUGAUCUCUAAAAAGGUGAGAGGUCAGAAAUGCAACAUGGAGCAAAAGCUUGAAUAAUCUAAAAUACUUAAGAAAUAAAUAGCCAAAGCAUGGUGGAAACCAAAAUUGAUAUUAUAUGCAAACUAAAUGUCUUAUUAAAGUAAAUACUAGAGUUGGUUUUGCUAACUUAACAUGAGGGUCAGGUAACAUGUAAUCGAUUUUCUAAACCAACCUUAAACCGAGAACCUUAAUACUUUUUUAUCAUAAGCCUAGCUAAGAGUGUUGACAAAAGGGAUUAACCAUAUGAUUCCUUAAACUAUCACUACAAUAAAUAAUAAUAUAAAUUAACAUCAAACCUAAUAAAUAAAUUUAAAAAUAUAGGAGUAGGUGGAUUAGUUAUAAAACUUAUGUGUUUGUUACUAAAAAUCUUUAGACUAUCUUCUCCCUUAGUUAAGAAAACUUUCUUUGGUAGGUAUAUAUUGUUAUCAUCAUCAUCACUUCAAAAUCAGUCGAGUUUCAUAUUAUUUAAUCAACGCUAAAUCAAUAAUAAAAACAUUUGAGGUGAUAUAGGUCGUGCUAUUACGUAGUGAGCUCACGUUCAAGUUGUUGAGAACUUUGUGUUUUAGCCUCUAAUCUCUAUGUUUGAGAAAAAACAAAAGUUUGAUGAUCUUUUUUUUUUUUUUUUUGAUCUCACGUGCUUUAAGUGUAUAGAGAUAACCAAAGAAAUAAAAUAAUUGUGAACUUCGUUAUAAACUAUUUAUAUCGUUAAUGUACUUAAAAAGAAGAAAAUGUCAUACUUGAUAGAAAAACAUAGUAAUAUAUUAAAUUUUGCCAUUUUGGUGUCUCUCUGAAACAUAUAAAUUCCUUUUUUUUUUUUUACUUUUUCCUUUUACCAUUUUCAACUAUUAAAAUAUCCAUACAAGUAGGUUUACAAAAAAAAAAAAAAAAAAAAAAAAAAAAAAAAAAAAAAAUAUCCAUACAAGUAGGAUUAUAUAAACUCAUAAUGUGAAAUAUAAAUGUGUAAAGAUAUUCACUAUGAAUUUUCGGAUCUUUAUUAUGAUCUUAAGUACACUAUGUUUAGCAAAAAUAACGUUCAUAAUAUAACCAAGCACAUGAACGUUCAUUUAAUCAGAGACUUGGUAACAGAAUUUGACGUCAAUUGUUUUUUGGAUUGUCACGUUUUUGAUAUACUCAAUGAGCAUCUUUUUCUUCUUUGCCUCAGAAUAAAUUCCGAUUUUUUUCUUUCACCAACAACAAAACAACUUGAACAUAGCAACAAAACAAAGUCUAAACCUCGUACCUCAGAAAGCUUAUAAAGGCAAAGUUUAAUCGAAUACUAUGUUUUCACGGGUAGUAGAGUAGAAUAACUCUUUCGCGCUGGAAGCCCAGUGGUUGGAGACUUGGUAAUACAGUAAACUCACAGAAUCAAAAAGAACAAUUCCUCUUCUCUGACUAACAAUCCAAAAUCCAAACAAUCGAUCCGAUGUUCAUAGAAAACACCAAAACGAUAACGAGCUAGCUCUCAAGAUGAGAGAAACCUAGCAUUUACAAGAAUUCUGGAAACCGCGCAUCCUCAAGUAGCAGCUGCUUCUAACGGCCUUCUCUUCAUCGCCCAAUCAGCCUUUGCCACACGUUGAUUCUAGAUUAUUCUUAUUUCCACUUGACUUUGCAAGUGCGAGACACACGUGUGGUUCUGCUGUAGCACUUGGAGUGCAAAUGGAUCAUAUUCUGAACCAUAAAUCGCAUGCUUAUAACCAAUUGAGGAUGAUUUGACAGAUUCUCUAAACGUCUGAAAAUCUCGUUCAUCUGUUUUGAGUUCAACCUUGAUUCAUAUAGCUUUUUGCUAACAGUGUUGAGAAAGAGACAAAUAGCUACAAUUUGUCCCUCUGAUGGACCCAUUUUCUCAGCAUCCUCCAAAAGCUUCUGUAUGAAAAAGGUAAUUAAAUUCAAUUAAACACAUUAAACCAAGUGUUAGGCAUGUAGCUAGACUACUAGAAGAUGUUACUUAACCUGAACAAUGUUGAAAACAAUAUUUUCUAUCAUCAGCUUCCGCGUUAGAAAAAGCUCACCAACCAAACGAAGAUUUCCUAGAGUCCGGAGGUUCGACAGUUUUACUUUGUCUUCCCGUUCUGCCUUCUGAUCUAGCGCAUUCAUGUUUCUAAUCUCCUCACUCAACUCGUCUGUUCCCUCAAACACAUUUUGACAUGUAUUCAGCAAAACCUUUCGAAAUGAGAUCUCACCAGUCAUAGGCUCUGAAGGUGGAAAACUAGGCAUUUUGUCGUGGAUAUCACAACACAAUUGAGCGUACAUAGGACAAAAGGUCUCAAGGACAGCUUUGUCGACAAUAAGGGAUGUCACACGCUGUAGUGAAAGAAAAAGACACAAAUCAGCCUUAUUGACAAAACUGAAGAUAGAUAAAUAAUAACGCAAAGAUAAGAAACCAAUUCUUCUUAAGUUCGUUGGAUUUUGUCAAAACAAAUCAAAGUGUUAAAUAUAUAAUAAAAUUUUUAACUUACACACCUUUUUUUUUUUUUUUAAUACCAGGAGGUUCUAGGCCAAAACCCGUAAUCCCCCCAGACCCGAAACCACAACAUGUAAUAUUAGUUUCGUCCUUUUUAACAUGUAAACCAAGAAAAACUUGGUGUUAGUUAGCUCAGACUCUUUUCCUGUAGCCAAAACCCCGACACAAAUUGAUUUACGUAGAUCUAAAAUAUAUGUAGUAUAAACAAAUAUAACUUUUAGCAAAAACAAACUACAAAUAUACAUAAUUAAUUUAAAUUAGAGUUAAACAAUAUAUGCCUUAUUAUGGUAGAGCAUGCACCUUUAAGAUAUCAGAUGUAGUGCAGGAGCUGAUAAGAUGGCUCAUGAGACGUCCAUAUUUCUCUUCGGCUAUCUGGUUCGUUAUACUGCCCAAGAAAAGUAUAAAAAUUGACAAAUCAAAAGAUUUUAUGUUUGAGAAGUUAAAUAACAUAAGGUUCGAUGCUAAUUUAACUGAGAAUUAAAAAGUCUAUUUAUCAAAAUAUGUUACAAAAAAAUGUAGCGGAUAGAGGAAUAAAAUUACCAGCUUUUUUCUUCCAAAGCCAGUGCUUUGAAUGUGAUCCAAUCUUGCAACAAUACUGUAGAUCGGGAACAAACCAACUUAGCAUCUUCCAUGGUUUUUUCUGUCAUCUAUAGUUGUGAUAUGUUUUGGAUACAAAUGACUUAGAAUAGUCUAAAAUAUAUAAGAAAGGAAUGGCCAAAGCAUGGUGGAAACGUGUCCAAAAUUGAUAAUGGGUGAAUAUUCCCCAUGCGUCAAUGUUUAUAACAAAUCGAACCUAGAAAACUGAAUCGUCGGCGACCGAAAUUUAUUGUUUUGUUUUUAUUUAAGACUAGUUGAACAUUGUAAUUACAAGAGAUAAUGAUAUUAUAUGCGAAUGUCUUAACUCUUAAAUGAAUACUAUUAGAGUUGUUGGUUUAGUUCGCCAUGUUUUUUAUGGCUUAACUUAACAUGAGGGUCAGCUGGUAUGAGGUAACAUGUAUUUUUAUUUUUAUUUUUCUUGUAGCGAAUGUUAAUAUCAUCAUAAUUUGAAAAUGUUUGGUUUUACAAUGUAAAUAGACUAUGGCUUUGAAUCCUUGGCAAAAAAAAACAAAAGAAAAACAAGAAGUCAACUAAAAAGUCACUUGUUAUGAGUUCAAGUUAUUCAGAGUUGCAUCAGGUUGCAAAAAGUUUUUUUGUGUCUUCUUGCAGUGAUUCUGUUGUGAAUCUCUCUGUAAAACAUAAUUUAAGUAUACGUUGGACCUAUCAAAAGAAAAUGAGAGCUUUUGAGAGACCAAUGAUCAAUAAGUAAAUGAGAGACCAAUGAUCAAUAAGUAUCAUAAAAAUUAAUUAGCCUAAAUACGUGUAUAUCAAAUCAUAACAUCACGUAGAUGCAAUAUACAAUCAAAAAACUAGUGAAAGAAAAUGAAGAAUUGUAAACUUUGGAACGAGAGAGGGUUAUGAUACUUAAAACAAGUGUGGACUACUAGGCAUUUACAGGAACAGAGGAGGAAGAAAAUGGUGAGCUUAUGGAUGAGACACAGCCUUUAAGGCGAUCAAGAAUCGCGUUCUUUGUCUUCGUUAGGCUUGCGUGUGACGUCAAAGGCAGUCCUUCUUUGACACACUCGUCGUACUUCUCUAGCACAGCCACUAUAUUUGAGAAGUCUGGCCGCUUCGACGGAUUCUCUGACCAACACCUCUUGAUUAGGUGAGCUAGCGCGGGUUGACAGCUCGCCGGCAAUGGUGGUCUCUCGUUCUGCCCAUUAAAAAAUGACCGAAAAAUUCAAUAACUUGUACCUCAAGAAACAAAUACAACAAUCUUUAAUGUUAAUCAAAAACGCUACUUCGCUGUGCUAAAUAAGAUGAAUGGAGACUGACCUUUUCAGCUACUGCGAAUGCGGCUUGCACGGGAGUCAUGCCUUGGAACGGAAGUAAUGCAGUGGUGAGUUCCCAUAGAACGAUGCCAAAGCUAUAAACAUCGACUUUUCUAGUAUAAGGCUUCUCUUUGAUCAUCUCUGGAGCCAUCCAUCUAUAAGUUCCCAUGUUGCCCUUGGCCUCUCUGCAUUGGGUCUCAAGACAAGAAGUCCCAAAGUCUGCAACUUUAACUCUCAUCUCAUCAUUCAAAAGCAAAUUGUUGGACUUUAGGUCUCUGUGGAUAACACCCUGCGAGUGAAGAUACUCCAUUCCUCUUGAGAUGUCUAGAGCCAGUCUAAGUACGGUCUCGAUAGAGAGCGAGUAAGGCUCUUUCUUGUUUAGGUACAUUCGGAGGUUUCCUUGUGACAUGUACUCUGUUAUGAUGCAGUAUACGGGCGGUUUCUUGCACGCCGCAAUGAACUAUACAUCAAAAUAAAGGAUAACAUUAGCAACAAUUGAAGCCUUGGUUCUAACGACAAGAUCUUUGCUCUGUUUUUGUUUUCUCCCACAAAGAUUUCUUAACAAGGUAAGGUUUAGAAUUUGAUAAGAAGAUAAAUAAUACAGACCUGAACGAUGUUAGGGUGAAAGAGACGAGAAAGCAGAGCAACCUCGGACUUAAACUGUUGUUCGAGCUUAGCCCUUGUCUCUUCCUUGUGUGUUGGGAUCCUCACCAUCUUCACGGCAACGGCCCUUUGUUUGUAGAUCCCUCUGUAUAUUCGAGAGUGUGCUCCGGAAGCAAAUUUGUUUCCGAUAAAUAGCUGCGAAAGAUCUGCAGUCCAUUCCUCUCUUUCUCCUUUAGACGCUUCCCAUGCCUCCACGUUCUCGGACUCAAGGAUCAUCGACCAAGAUUCCAUACUGUCGAAUCUCUUCUUCUCCAUCGUCUCUGCUUCUGCAUACCGGUUGGUUUUGGAGGAAGACGGGUUAGAUGGUAAAGGUGGGAGGGAAGGUUCUGGAGGUAGUUUGGAUCUUAGAGACCAACGUAGAUGAAACGGAUUGAAACAUAAACCAGACAUAGUGAUCAAUAAAGAGUUUUGCUUGGUUUACAAGGUAGGGUUUGAAAGCAGAGAAUCUAGGGUUAAAGAUGUGUUAAACUAGGUUUUUCCUUCUGAAAGUAUGAAUAGAUUUCAGGAAGUGCAUGAACUGAUUCAAAAACAUGGGUUCGAUAGGAUCUCCCGAGAAUCUAGCCGUCGUUUCAUUAAUUUUCUCGGGAAAACAAAACAGAAUCAGGAAAAAGAAAAAAAUCCAACAAAGAAAAUUUGAAACAGAAGAGACUUGUGUCAAAAGGAAGAGACUUUCACAGGAAGGAAGCAGAAACAGAGAAGGAAACAAAUGGAUUUCAUCUUCUUCUUUUUACCUAGUUGAACAAUGAUGAAACUUUCCGGGAAAACUAACAAAGAGGAGCUGAAAUUUUCCGGGGAAAAAAAAGGACACGAGAAGAAAGAAAAGCACCAGAAAGUUUUGGAUACAAGUUGGGUUUUGGAAGUUAAAGAAGAAACCAAGUGAAUAAGGGAACGGAUCCAAAGUAAGAGAUUUUCAAAGGUUUCUCGUGAUUGCUUGGUUCAAAAGUUAGCCUUUUGAGAAGUAAAGAGUUAUAAAUCUAUUUAUAUAUUUUCUCUUGAGACCAAAUGAAAUCGUGUUCGGUUCGUGUUUACAAGUCUUUUUAUAAUUCGAACUGAAUUAACGAGUCGCCAAGUUACCGACUUAAAUUGCUUCAUAUCAUUGGUUCGAUUGAUGAUGAUAAAUAUAUAAUAAAACUGUAUUUAUUUAAAGAAAAUUAUGGAUUAGAUUAUUUUCGAUAAAAUUACGGUUGUGUAUACAAAUAUUCCUCUUGAGCCUAAUCUUAUCCUAGUAGGCUAGUAUUAUAGAAAUAGACUUCAAAAUAGCUCAAAGAUUUUUUUAUUAAUCUAGAAGAUCACAUUGUUUUCAACUUGGCAAAAACCAUUAGCCAACUGCUAACAAUAUUUGUUUUCCAAAUCAAAUUUAUCUGACCUCUUUUUCUAUUUUAAUUUUAAUGUUGUUCAAUAUAUUGAUAAACUGUUUUAGGUUUUUUUACCAAAAGUAGUGGUUUAGUGGUACUACAAGGGGUUGGUUUUUUUGUAUUCCGAGUUUAAUUUUUAUCUGAGACGGUAAAACAUUCUUUAAAAUAGGAAUGAACUAAAGGUUGGUUGGACUACUACUGAAAAAGAUUACGGGAUAAAGGUUUAAAACUCCUACGAUUUAACCAAAAAAGAAAAAAAAAAUCUUAUUUCAACUAUGUUCCAUACAUAUAACACUAAUAAUAAAUAACAAAAUUAUAGAUAUACUUGGAACUCAAAAGAGAUUUGAUUACGUCGUAAUAAUAAACCAAAUCCAAAUCACAUACUUAUCAGUUUCACAAUAUAUAAUAUUUAUUGGCCUUGUUUCUUUUCGAAGUCGCUAGUGACAACUCUGGCGAUUGAAAAUUACAUUUAUUUUCUCCUUCUUUGUGUCGCUGGGUUUUUGAUGUGAGAUCAUUUCUUCCUCAACAUUCUCCAUGAUAGGUAUCCCAGAUAUCGCUAAAUUUUGUAGCGUCCAUUAUAUCCGACGCGGCGACUCAAUUGCUUUUCGUUUCUCAUCGUCUUUCACUUAUAACUUGUCGCUGGUUUUAGAUCCAAUUAAAAAUUAAGUUGUUUUUUCAGUCGCACAUUAAUGUCGCCAGCGACAUAGAAAAGAACAAGGCUAUUAUAUAUUUUCAUAAAAGUUUUCACGGUCAUUGUUGGACCAGUUUUAUUAUAGUACGGACCAGAUCAUAUCAUAUUUGGAGUUAGGAAAACAUUGAUUUGAUCAUAAGAAUUUAGGUCAGAGAAAAACUUGUGGCAUAAAAAUCACUUUCCGAAUGAUAUAAAGACAUGCAUAUGACAAAUUAAUAUUUCAACAAUAUUUCCUUACCUCGAAUAUAAAAAAUAAAAAAAACCAAAGUCUCCAAUAUAUUAAAUUAAGUUAGAAGCAAUAUACGAUUUGCAGUUUCUAGUCUCUGCAACAUUUUUUCCUUCAAAUAUGAUUAAAAAUGACAAAAACUGUCAUAGACUCUCUUUCUGGCUAGUGGCUGAUAUCAGUAGAACUUAAUUAAUAAACUGUUACAUACAAAAAGUAUAUUCUGAAAAAACGUUGACAAAGUAUAUUAUAAUUACUUUUACUUUGUAUUCUAAUGGAUGGAGAUGAGUUUUGGCAAUGUGUAGAAAGCGAAAUAUUUACACUAUUUAGAGACAACAUUUGUGAACAAUCCGUGAGUGAGGCAAUUCGAUGCCUUGUCGUACUAAAUUAUUUAAUUUUACAGAUGCAACAUGUUUUCCCAAAAAAAUAAACUUAAAAAUAAGCAUGUUUUACCAAGUGGAUUUAUACACGUGGCAAUCCAACAACGGAACCACGUGGAAGCUGUAGAAUCUUGUUCCGUUAUUCGUUGACCACUUGUAAAAAAUUGGGCAGUAUCUUCUUAUCCUAAUAACUUUUCUAUUUGGCCCGUUAGAAAUUUAAUUUAAUAAAAUAUAAGAACAGGCCCACGAGCUAGACAUUCUAUUUUUUAGUUUUGAGAAAUGCAAAAAAAUAAUAUAAUUUUGGUAAUUUAAAAAGAUAAGAGAAAAUAACUUUUUCAACAAAAAAGAAGUUGGGGAAAGGACUAUAUCAAGGAACAAAUCCAUCUAUUUGAUAUUUUUUUUUUCCAUAAUAAUAUAGUAAAAUGGUCAUCGUUUUAUAUAAAAAAAUUUGACUGAAUAUUUGCGAUUUGUGUUUAAAGAUCUUGGAGACCACUACUAUGAAUGUGGUGGUCUCCAAAAUGCCCUUACUUACUAUCUCUCAAUGCGAACCAACUCCAAUAUGGAGACACAUUGCAUCGAUGUGAACAUGAGACUUAUUGAGUUUCAAAAAUCAUUGUCAUAGUUUAAAUGUUCGAGUUGAUGUUCCAUACGAACCCACAAAUUUGUAGCUCAUGACUGGAAAAAAAAAAAGUUACACCAAAUAAAAACAUGGACGAAUCUCAAAGUUAAUUAGGUCAUGAGUGAAACCUAAAAAAAUAUGAGGUAGAUAGUAUAGGACCGCAAAAAUCCAAAAAUAAAACAGUUCGAUUUUGGGUCAAAAAUAUAUGGCAAAUGUUGCAUAAAAUGUAACAAAUGCCGCUUAGAAAUUUUGUCCAAAAAACAUCGUUUCUGGGUGCCCGACUCGGCUUUUCACGGCGGCGAUUUGUUUUGCAUAAUGCUUAUACAUCUCUUACACCACAAUGUCAUUUUCACAAAGUUAGUAAACCUUGUAGUAAAUGUUGGUAUCCUCUUCACAAAGCUAGUGAAUUUUAUAGAAAGUGUAACGAAAUAUACUAUACUAGAGAAAAAGAUUUCAUAUUUCCUAUGUGUGACAUAUGUGCAUAUUUGUUAAUUAUUUUUAUAAGCUUUCAAGUUAACAACGUUGGACUUCAACUUCUCUUGCAAUAUGACUUCAACUUUUACAUGUAACCACAUUAUCUCAUAGAGUUCAAUACAAAGAAUCUAAUGACUUCAAGAUCAUCCGGUCGUUUCAGUGACGAAUUUUACAGAAAGUCGUCAGAAGAAAAUUGACUGGAACCACAUUAUAAAAUUGAGCUUCCAACAACUAGAUCAUUUAACUAGUCUUAGAAAGAAAUAGAAAUAGAAAUAUAUUUUUUUUUCACUCUUUUUUUCUCGUCAAAAUUCCGACUCACAAUCUUCUAAUAUUGUUUUGUUCUCUUGUUAGGUUUAUAAUAUUUGGGACGAAACUAAUAUUACAUGCUGUAGUUUUGGGCCUGGAGCUAUUACGGGGUUUGAUCCAGAUCUUCUGGUAUUCAGAAAAAAAAUAUAUAUAUUUAGGAGUUAGAAUCGGCUCUCUGGAUGAAAAUACUUAAUUCGUUCGAAUUUCCAAUUUAAUUCACUGGUUAUUAGAUUAUUUUUUUAGCGAAAAUUGUUAACUAGUUUACAUAGCAUUAGAAAUAGACAACAUUUCCAUAGCUUGUAUAGUUUAAACCAUACAAAAUUAUACAUGAUCUAGUCUAUCAACAUCACAUGUUUGGAUGAUUUGGAAUCAUUGGAUAAUUGUUACAAAUUCAUUCAUGCCUAAAAGGUUUUUAGCCAUUGGGCUGAAAAAUCCCUAGGCCCAUCAUCUUCCAUCUUCGGCCCAAAAUUGAUCUCACGAGUCACGACAUAGUAAAUAGUAGAGAGACAACAAGUUGCUGAUCCCUUCGAGCUAGGGUUUCUAGUUUUUCAAAACCCCGUCAGGCUCAUCUUCUUCUAGCACCUUCUUCUUCCCUUAAAGUAUUCAACUUUAUCUGAAUUUCACCAUUUUCUCUUCAUUUCUCCUACUAAUUUCGAUCUUUAAGCAUCUGGGUAUCUCCCUUUCUCCAUCUAUUCAUCGGAAUUUGGGCUUAGAUUUCGAAAUUCUGAAGCUUUUUGGGGAAGACGAGAUUGAAAAUGGGGAAAUCUGGAGGAAGGAAGAAGAAGAGUGGUGGUGGUGGUUCGAAUGCGAAUUCGAAUUCGAGUCAAGUCAAUUCAUCUGAAGCUUCAGGAUUAUCGAAACCGUCAACGAUUGUUAAUGGUGGUGUUGAUUUCGAUGCUUCGAUAUUCUUGAAACGUGCACAUGAGCUUAAAGAAGAAGGUAAUAAGAAGUUUCAAGCAAGAGAUUACGUUGGUGCUCUUGAGCAAUACGAGAAUGGGAUUAAGCUUAUUCCUAAGAAUCAUCCAGAUAGAGCUGUGUUUCAUAGCAAUAGAGCUGCUUGUUUGAUGCAAAUGAAGCCAAUUGAUUAUGAAUCUGUGAUUUCUGAAUGUUCUUUGGCUCUUAAAUCUCAGCCUGGUUUUACUAGAGCUUUACUUAGAAGAGCUAGAGCUUUUGAAGCUGUUGGCAAGUUUGAUUUAGCUGUUCAGGAUGUCAAUGUUUUGUUGGGUUCUGAUCCUAAUCAUAAGGAUGCUGGUGAGAUUUCCAAGCGGUUAAAAUCCGCUUUGGGUCCUCAUCAAGAUUUGCAGAGUCGUCCUUCACCUGCAGCUCUUGGUGCUUCGGCUGCGUUAGGCGGUCCCAUUGCUGGACUUGGUCCUUGUUUACCUUCUCGUAAUGUUCAUAAAAAGGGAGUUACUUCGCCUGUCGGGUCUGUUUCGAUGCCUAAUGCUAGUAAUGGUAAGGUUGAGAGGCCACAGGUGGUGAAUCCGGUGACUGAAAACGGUGGUGCGGUGAGUAAGGGACAGGCGUCGAGAGUUGUGUUGAAGCCGGUUAGUCAUUCACCGAAAGGGUCGAAGGUGGAGGAGUUGGGUUCUUCAUCUGUGGCUGUUGUUGAGAAGGUUCAAGAGAAGAGGAUUCGGUGGAGGCCGUUGAAGUUUGUUUAUGAUCAUGACAUAAGGUUGGGUCAGAUGCCUGUGAACUGUAGGUUUAAGGAAUUGAGAGAGAUUGUGAGCAGUCGUUUCCCGUCUUCGAAGGCAGUUUUGAUUAAGUACAAGGACAAUGAUGGAGAUUUGGUGACUAUAACUUCUACUGCAGAGCUGAAAUUGGCGGAAUCUGCUGCUGAUAGUCUUUUGACGAAAGAGCCUGAUACUGAUAAGUCUGAUUCUGUUGGGAUGUUGAGAUUGCAUGUUGUUGAUGUGAGUCCUGAGCAAGAGCCUAUGUUGCUAGAGGAAGAAGAGGAGGAAGUGGAAGAGAAGCCUGUUGUAGAAGAAAUCAUAUCAUCUCCUACAGAAUCAGUAUCUGAAACAGAGAUCAACAAUGAGAAGACGGAUAAGGAAGUUGAAAAGGAGAAAGCGGGUUCUUCUGAAGAUCCUGAGACCAAGGAAUUGGAGAUGGAUGAUUGGUUGUUUGAUUUUGCUCAUCUCUUCCGUACUCAUGUUGGUAUUGACCCUGAUGCUCAUAUUGACUUGCAUGAGUUGGGAAUGGAGCUCUGCUCAGAGGCGCUUGAAGAAACUGUGACAAGCGAGAAAGCUCAACCACUAUUCGAUAAAGCUUCUGCGAAAUUCCAAGAAGUCGCUGCUUUAGCUUUCUUCAACUGGGGAAAUGUUCACAUGUGUGCUGCUAGAAAGAGGAUUCCUUUAGACGAAUCUGCGGGAAAAGAAGUGGUUGCAGCACAGCUUCAAACCGCUUAUGAGUGGGUGAAAGAGCGAUACACAUUGGCAAAGGAGAAAUAUGAGCAGGCCCUCUCGAUCAAACCAGAUUUUUACGAGGGUUUGCUUGCUUUAGGACAGCAGCAAUUUGAAAUGGCGAAGCUACACUGGUCUUACUUGCUAGCUCAGAAGAUCGAUAUCUCAGGUUGGGAUCCGUCAGAAACCCUAAAUCUCUUUGACAGCGCAGAGGCAAAGAUGAAAGACGCUACAGAGAUGUGGGAGAAGCUUGAAGAGCAGAGGAUGGAUGAUCUUAAAAACCCGAACUCGAACAAGAAAGAGGAAGUUUCUAGGAGGAGAAAGAAGCAAGGAGGAGAUGGGAGUGAAGAGGUUUCAGAGACAAUCACAGCUGAGGAAGCAGCAGAACAAGCGACUGCAAUGAGAUCACAGAUCCAUUUGUUUUGGGGAAACAUGCUGUUCGAAAGAUCGCAAGUUGAAUGCAAAAUCGGGAGGGAUGGUUGGAAUAAGAAUCUUGAUUCAGCUGUUGAAAGAUUCAAACUUGCAGGUGCUUCUGAAGCUGACAUAGCAACGGUUGUCAAGAAUCAUUGUUCCAAUGAAGCCGCUGCUAUUGAAGGAGAUGAGAAAAAGGUACCUGCACCUUGAAACCCUUUAUUCAAACAAGAAUUUCGAUAUCAAGAGCUAUGAAACAAAAACCGAUUCUCGCUUAAUGAAUGGUUGUGUGACUGGAAAAUAACCAUGAAGAUGUAGACUGCCGAAUCUUGCUUGUUUUGAUGAUUCACACUUGGUUUUUUCAAGUUUAUCUUCUUCACCUCAAAGGUGAUAAUUUUUCCAGGGCAUUUGUUAGAUAAAUUUGUAAACUCUGUUUGUUUUAAGUUUUAAACUUUAAUAUUUGUUUGUUUUUGCUUUAGGGAUUGAUUCUUCUGAACUUGCUUCUUCUUAUCUAAUGAUAAAAGCUACUUUAGCUUCAUUUGUGUUAAGUUCUGAAACAGAGUGCUUCACUUGAUUUGGUGAUAUCAUAAAACACAUUAGAACUCUUAGAAUUCAGAUUAUUAUUAUUGUUAUCAUCUUCCAUAAGCAUAAACACCCCACACUUUAAAGUUUAAACACACCAAUUGACCAACAAUUAAUCACCGGAUACUUAACUAUAUCAACUUAUGGACACAAACACAGAACACAAACUCAUCUUCUUUCUUUCUUUCUCUGCUUCACUUUAACCUCAAAUCCGGUUUAGAAGGUCUCUACGGCUGCUGUAGGAUUCAAUUCUGUAACUGCAGAAGCAUUCUUCAUUGCUGCGAACCGUGGCUCCUUGGGCUGAAACUUGACCCCUGCAUAAAGCUUCAUGUAGUCAUCAAAGACGAAACUCGGGUACUCGGUAUCUUUCUCGACAAGUGAAGUUGCAGGAGAGAUCUCGGCAUCGUUUCCCGGAUUGUAAAACGAUGCAAUCGACAUCCUGUUUCCUUCCUGUUGAGUCACCACACGGUGCAUCACACUCUUGUACUUCCCGUUGGUUAUCACCUACACACAAUUCAGAAAAUACAUAUUCUGGUUAAACCAAAAUCUCAGAUCAGUUUAGCUAUACCAAAUCAAACUCAUUUAAGAUUGCAUGUCGUUCGUCCGGUUUAACUCGGUUAUAACAUUUACUAAUUUCCCCAAUUUCAUCAAACCGGGACUAAGCCAAAAUCCCAAUCAAUACCAAAACAUUGUUUUUUCUAAGCAAAAGAUCUUUUGAAAAUGUGGUGUGAACAUGACAUACCUCAAGUUGGUCACCAAGAUUGAUGACAAUAGAGUGGUUGAGAGGAGGAACAUCAAUCCAGUCACCAUCUUUAAGAAGCUGGAGACCACUGACCUUGUCGUCUUGAAACAACAAGAUGAUGCCUCCUGCAUCAGUGUGGGCCCUAAGACCUUUGAUCAUCUCUGGUUUAGGACAUGGUGGAUAAUUGCUCACCUUUGUCCCAAAGGUUGGUCCUUUGGUUCCAUGAAACACUUUCUUCAAAUACCCUUUCUCCAACCCUAGAUUCUCACAAAGUAGAUCCAACAACUCCUCUGCAAGAUUCUCUAAUCUCUUCCCAAAGUCUUUCAUGGCCGUCCUGCCAAAUCAAAACAUUUUUUACUACUUUAGUAUAAUAUAUUACAUCUUUGCUCAAAAAAAAAAAAAAUAGUAUAAUAUAUUACAUCUUUGCUUGUGCUUCACUAUGCAAGUUUCAGGUUACUUUUUAUGUAAUUAUAAUAUUUUUAAUGGUUACUUUUUACCAAUAAAAGUAUAAAAAAAAGUCGAAAAAUUCUUAACUCAUGCAUGUGAGAAAAAAUAAAAAAUAAAAAAUAUUUUAAUUAAAGAUAAUAGAGGUAGAGUGUAUAACUGAAAUUUGGUUUAGUCAAAAUUUGAGAUUUCUUUAAGAAAAAAUAAUUGUUUUGGCAAUACUAAUAAUAAACUGGCCUUAUUGUUAUGUUAUUCAUGUACCCUGACAGAUCUUGUGAAUUAAGGGGGAUUUUUGGAGUGGUGACUAAUUUUUUUCAUAGAAGAAAAUAAAUUUCAUAUGUAAUUAAAUGAAUAUAACAUAUGAUUUGAAACUGUAUUUUUUUAAGAAAAUAUGUACCUGUAUUCAUCAGACACAUCUGAAAUGUCACUGAGAUUGGACUGAGGGAGGUGACGAACAUAGAAAGUGCUUUCCCAAUCAAUAUCUUCGACUUCUGUCUGAAGAUUAUCCAAACCUUUGGACUUGAGCAUAUCAUUGAACUUUUGUUCUUGACAUGUCUUGUAAUGUUCCUUUGUCAUCUUCUCGAUCUUGUCCAUUAAGUCAUGUGGUAAUCCAUGGUUCACUAUCUGAAAAUUUCAAUUAACCCCAAAUUUACAAAAGAUUCACAUUACCAUUAAGAGCCAGUAAAUAUAAAAAAAAUUUUAAAUGUGUACCUCAAAGAAGCCCCAGUUCUCACAAGCUUCAUUGAUUAAAGCCAUGGUUUGGUCUCUCUCUUCACCAUUGAGCUUGGACAAGUCUACCACUGGAAACUUCAUGUUCUUCUCCAUCUUUCUUUUUCUCUCUCUCUCUUUUUUGAAAGUACUCUAUUUGAAGUUGCAAGUUGUGUGUAUGUUUAUUGCUUUGAUGUGAAGACUUAUGAAAUGAGAGAGGGUUGCUAUUUAUAGGCGCAAAUGAGGGAUAUUGGAUUUGAUUAAAAUAAUUAAAAUUGUGAGAAAAUAUGUGUGAGUCAUAGUCAUAGUCUCAUAGAUAAGAUGUACAAAAAAUGUUACAUUCAAAUUGAUAAAAAUAAAAAGUAAAAAGUAAAAGAAACAAGAGUUCGUGGAGCAUGUAUGUGAGCACAUCUAUGAUGGACCCCUACCAUCUUCUUUCUUUAUGAGAUUGAUUCGUUUGGCAUUUUCCUUUUGGGUCUCUAUUAUGCACUUCAAUUGGUUUCUUUUCUCUUCCCUUUUGGGAUUAUUUUAUGUAGAAAUAAUUAGAAAGAGUUACGAAAAAAAGGAAAAGUAGUGAGAGGUUGCAUAAGAUUUUGAAAUAUUUCGAAACAACUCUGAAUGACAAAGUUUACUACUUGAGCUAAUCGUUUGAAUCAUAACCAAAUUUGAGAAGAGUUUUUCCUUAAAAAGAGACUAGUUCUAUCACUUGCAUUUUUCAUUUUCAGGACACUGAUAUUGAAAAUUACUUGAUAUCCUUUUUGAAAGUGCAUUCUUAAAAUUGUAGUAAUGUAGUUUUCUAGAAUUCAUACUUAAAUGUGAAACACUUUACUUCUUCUGUAUUUUGGUUUUGGCUUUGCACACCGUCCGGCUCCUUUUUAGUAUAUAGAUUUUAUUUUUAUCUGACAGACCGUCUAUUAUCCCAUAAAAAUCGCUUAAUUUGUCUUUUUAUAUCAGUCAUCACAUAAAUUAUUUUGUUUUAUAUAUUUAUUGAAACUUACUUGUUAGAGAUUCUCUACCCACUUGUUUUAGGAUUUUUUUUUUUUGUAUAGAAAAAUGUAUAUUGAAAAUACAAGUUCUUAUAUCAAGUGUGCCAUCAUUUUCUAGUAUCAAGGAUAAUUCACGGUGAUAUUGAUAUAUAGCAUGUUAUGUAUAUCAUCUUUCGAAUUGAUGUAAGAUAACUUUUGCAAAAUAACUUUAUCAAGUAAAUUCUCUAAUAGAUUCUUUAUAGAAGUUAUGAUAUAUCAGUGUUUCAGAAAAUUAAAUAGAAAGCAUAUGUAUGAGAUAUAAACUACCAAACUUACAGGGUGUUUUGUUUGAUAAUAUUCUUGAUUCGCCACUUUUUGACAUAUCAAUUCAUCUUUAAAUUCCUCCACACUUUGGACGAAUACUACGUUGAUCUGAUGUUUCAUAACUAAAGUAUACAAGUCAAAUAAUUAUAUAUGGAAUUAAAUUUAUCGAAUAUUCCUAACUCAACUUAAAGAGUGCAUUAUGGUAUAAAACCAUAUAUUAUUACUUCGUUCUAUUCACUUUAUUAAAAUCUGUUUUCUAACUCAAUAAUGCAUCCAAAAAAAUAUCACAACCAUAAGCCGUCGUUACGUAUACACAAUGUAAAAUGUUAUUGAUUAUAUUACUAGUUGCAAUUAAGCUUGGCUUAUUACAUAAUUUACUGUUGAUAACACAAUUUCUCUUUCUCACUCUCCCUAUCGUCUUAAAAUCGUUGACCAAAGUGAGAACAAAGACUUCGGUCGUGGCUGCUACCUACUUUUUUUUUUUUUUUUUUUUUCUAUUGGGCGAUCUUAGACUCCAUUCAUGCGCGUGAUACAAUUUUUUAUUUUCCAAUAGUUGUCUAAUGGGUACACAUGAUUAUGAAUAAUGUUUAGAUCUAGAUUAAAGUUUGGUUCGAGAAAAAAGAAGGAUUAAAGUGUGUAUUUGAAACAGUUUAAUGCAGUAUUCAUAAUUAUACGCACAUAAUCUAUAAUAUGAAUACCAAAAGAUAUAACAUGGGAAGCAAAAAUUAAGAUAGAUAUGAGUUUAAAAUUUAAAUAUAUAUUUGGUUUCAAAAGACUCAUUGAAGAUAUCUCAACCACCUAUGUUCCCCUCUACCCUAUAUAUUUACUAUUUCAUGUGAGUUUGGUUCAAUUGUUGUUUAAUUCUUUUUAUCUUUUUGUAAUCUAGUUUAUCAUAAAUUCUGUAUCCACUUUAAUUCAGAAUAAAACAAAUUAUCCUAAAAAGUAUUAUACUACUAGCAGGUAAGGAAUUAAAAUCCUACGAAUGUUUGUUGAUCUUGUCUACGAAACUAUAAAUUAAACGUUUUUUUUAAGUAAAAACGAGCGAUAAUUAAUGUGUAAUAUUCACUGAGUGACAGCAUACAUAAACUUUUUCUUGUCUUUAGGUCUUUUCAUUUAGAAAUGAAUCCAAAGUCAAAAAGGUGUUGCUUUGCAUUGCCGCAUCACUAUUGAUUUCUUUUCCUGAAAAAAUGUUUUAACAAAACUAUUGCUUCACUAGAAUAAAACUAAAAGUAAAGCUUAGGUGUUUAUGUUUAAUACGCAUUUAACUUUCCCUUUCUUGAAUGAAAUUGUUACUUGUAUUUUAGUAUUUUACCAAUGCCGACUAUGUUUUUAUCAUCCGACGUAUGUGUUUUGCUGAAACAAUGCCUUGUUGAGUUGUUAAUUCUAUGAAAUAUGUCACUUCUUAGACUUAACUUAGAAACCACGGCAUGCAUCAUUUAUUUUAAGUGGCAAUUUGCUUGAUAGAAACUUUCACAAACCUUCUUUCUCGAUUUUUCUCACUCAAACUCAAUGCACACAACUUUCCUUUCUUUCUCAGAGAUACUUUGAUCAAUUAAUUUUUUUUUUCUAGUAACAGUUGUUUUUUUUACAGCUAACAGUUGUUAAAAGAAAAAAAGUUUCUGAUAACCCUAAAAAUUCCCUUCACGGCUUCACCCCAAUUUUUCUCAUUUUAUAGUGUACGACUUGUAUUUUCAGUGGUCAAGUUAUAAGCCAACUUUUGUUUUUGUUAAAGAAAAUAUAUCCCUGAAUUUUUAUUGAUUUAUUAAUAAAAUAAAAUUGGAGGCAAAACAGUAUAUAACUUCCUCCUCGACGUUAACUUCAAUCACAAUGUUUUUUAGUAGUGUUUUAAGCGUCUGCUAGAUUUAUGUUGACGAUUUUUAUUCAUGAUUUUACGACUAAAAGUAUUUACCUUGAUACAUUAUUGGGAAAAAAACUAUAGAAAAUUAGAAAAUUUUGAUUUGGAAAAAUAAUAAAUUACUUUAGAAAAUAAAUGUAGUCGUUAUUUAUAGAUCGAGGAUCAAAUAUAAUGUAAUCUACAAUGUGUCUUUCUUUAUUUCCUUGGAGGUCAGAUUUUCGGUCAAUUGGUUAUUCUUAUGAGUUGUUGAAAGCAUGGCGUACGACAAAUCAAAUCAUACAAAUUAGGCUAUAUCACAAGAGGACAUAUAUCAGGUUCAUGAACUUCAUGUCUUUCGUUUUUUUAAUUAUUCAUUUGCGUCACGAUUCAGCAUAUUUAUAAAAGAUAAUAUGUAUAUUUGUAUAUUUAUAAAGCACGAGGGCAAUAUUGAAUAAUGGGAAUUUUCUUUUUAGAAAUAUUCGGUUUACGUGAAAGAGAUAUGAUGCAAAGUUACAAUAUACAUAUAUUUCAUUCUAUAUAUGUUGGGUGAAUAUUGUAUAAUUCUUAUUGGUGCUUUGGAUGCUAUUACAAUUAUUAACCUUUUUUAAUCGAUGAAAUUCCUUCACAUUACUAUAUCUACAUAUACAUUUUUAUAGAGUUUUUUUGCAUUAAUUCAUUUGGAUCCGGGUUUUAUCCGGGUUUAAUUCUAUCCGGAUCUUGGAUAAGGAAUUUUAGGAAUGUUGUCUUAAUUUCAAACUAAUAAAUGAAGCCAUGUUGUCUUAAUAUCUUUCAUAUUAAUGACCCUAAUAAAUAGCCGAUUUUAAUGGAAAAUCGUUUUCAUAUUUAUGCUCAUAAUAAAUGUCCAGAUUUUAACAAUAUAUACAUAUAUUAUGAAAUUAUAAAGAAAAAAACAUAUUUAUUUUUUUAGCAGUAUAUAUAUAUAUAUAUAUAUAUAUAUAUUAUGUUAAUAAAUUUGUUUAAUAUUCUAAUAAUAAGCUAUGUCAUUUUUUUUUAACAAUAACAGAUUAAAUAUAGGCAAUUGCCCAUUUAAAUUGCAAUAAAUUUAAAAUCAAAAUAACAAUCUACAUAUAUAUUUUUACAGGGGUUUUUUACUUUUAAUAAUUUGGAUCCGGGUUUUACUCGGUUUUCUAUAUCCGGAUCUUGGAUAAGACAUUUAAGGAAAUCUAAAAAAACCCGUCAUUAAUGUAGAUAAUUACACAUAUAUUUCGGUAUAAGCAUAUUCCAAAAAUCUCUCCCAAAUCAAAGAUGUUACGUUCAAAAACUGUUGCCAAAAAUCUCUCGCUUUCCUUCUAAAAUCUCUACCAUUGGCUGUCAUCCCAACUAAUUACUCAUAAUUAUAUUUCCUAUAUUUCUUUUUUUUUCGAGAUUUGCAAGAAAAUUACUCAAUUCCAAAAAUAAAAGAUUUUGAAGAUAUUGUGUACUUGAUCAGCAAGAUUUUAGGAACUCACUCACCCAAAACCCUAUAGUAUUCUCAAAACAUUAUAAAUACCUUUCAUUAGUCUAAUAAAAACUCACCAGUUUUACAGAAAAUGAGAAAUCACAGACGUGAUGCAAUCUGUAUGGACUCCGGGAAGAGCUAGGAGACAGUGGUGAACCGGGAUCUAAACCUCGCCGACGAUGUGAAGAUGGUGACGAGGAGGAGAUCGUAAUUCUUUAGGUUUCGAUUGGCAAAACAAGACGAUCGGCGAUCCAAAGAUCCACCGCCUGAAACGCAACAUCGAAUUGAUCACACCGAAUAUCUUCAGAUUUCAGAUAUGCUUUUCCGGUGGUAGCUUCAAAAUACACGCCGGGAACUCCUUGAUACGCUACAUGGAGAGUAGAUCCAUGCGUUUUGCUGCAGCUUUGAAGAAACAAGGCUCAGAUCGACCGUUAACGACGGUGACUUCAUCUGCUAAACCACCGAUGAUUGAGUUUGAACUUUCCGUUUCUAAGUUUUUCAUUUUGGGUAUAUGAGAGAGUUGAAUAAAAACAAUUUGGGCUCUGUAGGUCUUUACAAAAUUGGUAGACAUGAUUCUUUGUUAUUGGGUUCUAAUACUCUAUGUGUUUAUUUUUUCAUUAUGUGAACUAAUGAAAGUUGCAUACUUAAAUUUUUUUUCAUGGCAGUUCUAAACAUAUUAUUUUUAAUAUUUGUGAUUAUAUAACAAUAAUAGGUUAGUGUUAAUUAUGGAUCAUUAAGGUUUGAAUAGUGAUAAAAUAAUUAGAAAAUACAAAUAAAAUAACAAGGCCGGUGCAAAACUAUUAAUUCAGACCUUAAUUAUCGGAUCAGUUCAAGCUUUAACCCAUGUCUUUUUCUGAAAUUGCUAAAAAUAAGUAAUGUUCUCAAAUAAAUUCAAAUAUCAAAUCUUCAUAAAUACAUUAAAUACGUAAGAUUUAAAAUUAUGGAGCAAUAUUUUCUAAUUAAAUUCAAAAAUUUCUAAUUCAAAAAUUUCUAAUUGAUAUAUUUAAAUUUUUUGGCUUUUGUUUGCCAAUUUAGAUAUGGUUUUUGAGUUUUUAUAAAAUAGUUUUAAAUAUUACGGGACGAAUUGUAUGACACGGGUUUGGUUAGGAUUGAUAUUAAUAUAAAUUUAAAAUAUCACUAAUACAUCGCUAUAACACAUAUUAAAUCCUCAUUUUAUUAUUUAAAAUUUAGCAUACGGUAUACCGCGGGUAAAAUCAGUAUAAGAUGGGUUAAAUCAGUAUCUUAUUCAAAAUCAUACAAUUGAAUCUAUUGUUUUUAUACUACGUCUAUCUAUAAAAUUUCAAUUUUUGUAAUAAAAUUUCGUCUCACGGUGUAUUAUACAUUUAAAUUAAACAAAACAAUAGUAUAUAUCUAUAGAGUAUCUUAAAACAAAAUUUAAUAAAUUUUUCUAAUAAAAAUAUAGACCCGCGGUGUACCGCGGGUUAAUAUCUAGUUUAUUAACACAAAAGAAGAUGUACUCAACCAAACAUUUCAAAUGAUUACUAUGCAAUUAGAAAAUUCCAUGUUAGUUAAUCAUGAUUUUCCGUUGUUAGAAAAUUUCAUGUUAGAAAAUUUCAGUUGGUCAGAAAAUUAGAAGGCUUUCACAAAAAGUUUUGGAUUUCAAUCUUAGAGUUUAUAGAUUAUCACAUAUUGUAAUUUCAAGCUCUUUACAAUUAAAGUAUACCGAUACAAAUUUGAUUCUAUAUCAAAUGAUGGAUACUAUAUAAAUAAUGACUGAUCUAUCUAUCUAUUGUGUCAAAAAAAAAGAGAAGAAAAAUGACUGAUCUAUUUUAUUUAAAAAAAAAAAUUAAUCUAGCAAAAGAUUUCACAACUUUAAUCAUAUAGCGAACAGUACAUAUAAUUUUACUUUAGUUGUUAAAAGAUUCUUGCUUAGGAAUAAUUUUAGUAUGUGAACAUACAAUUUGUUUAUAAAUAUAGAAAUGUCAUGUUGAAUAGGUUAUCCAUUCUUUUGAUCAAUAAUUUAUUCUUCAUAUUCUAUGUAACACUGGAUUAGAUUAACUGAUCCUAGCUUGUUUGCUUUUCUUCUUUAUAUAAUGACUUCUUGUGGAACAUUACUACCAAACAUUUUAUAUUGUAUAAGGUUCUUACAUAAUUAAGGUUCGAAGAAUCGAUUAUGAAAAAUGUAACGAUACUAAUUAAUGAGUUAUGGCCGCCCUUCAAAAUUGUUUUUUUUUCAGUAUAGCUGUACAUGAAUCUACAAUAUAAUAACAACUAAUAAUAUAAACUUACUUUAACUGCAAUGUUUUAUAUUAUAUCUACCAUAGUUGAAUUUACAAACCUUUCGAUAUUGUGAUGGUUUAAAGUUUUAGGUUUCGUAACUAACCGACGUUGCUUCAGUUAUGUGUAUGUAAUCUCACUAGUCUAUUCACUAUUGUUUGUUUGAAAGAAAAUGUUUAAAAACAGUCUUCUUCUUUUUUUAAUGAGUAAUUACAUUAUCUACGGUAAUACUGAAAAAUAUUUAAGUCAAAGGAUAGAUGGCAAACUUGUAAAUAAAUGAUCCUUUGAAAACAUGACAAAAAAACAGAAAUGCCCCCAAAACUAAACCCUUCCUUCUUUUUUCUUUCUUUCUUCGUUUCUCUUUCUUUUUAUUAUUUAUUUUUUUAUUUUUCUUUUUUUUCUUACUUUAUGAAAACCCCAAACAAAUGAUUUUUCUUAAUUGUGAAACUGAUUACAUUAAAAUUAUGAUAUUUUUAAUUAAUUAAACUCGUCGUAUUUUUCUGAUCAGAAUGCACUCAAUAAACCUUACAAUAUUCUCGGUACAAAGACGUCGCAAAUUUGAUGUUGUUCAUGUUAUCGAUGGACAUAUAUAAGAAAUGAUUCGGGAAACCAUCAAACCGGCGAUGCUAUCAUAGACCAGUGAUGGAUAAACAUAUUUAUCUCCCAAUUCAUUCGUUGUCACCGUCUUCCACUUAUGUUGUUUCACUAUACUCUCUUUCCCAUCCUACCACCACCACCUCCUCCUCCACCGCUAACAUAUUCUCCGCUCACAUCACCAUCACCACCUCCACCUCCUUCACUAAAAUACAAUCCACCACAUCCACCAUAGUCCCCACCCCUCGUCGUCGCCAACAAACUCUCUCUCCAUAUCACUACCACUAUCUCAGAUAGCAAUAUAUCAUGAUAAAUAUUUAUAAAUCUUGAUAUAUAUUUAUUUAUCAUGAUAUUUUAACAUAUAUCAUAAUAUAUAUUGCGAUACCAUGAUAUAUGUUAUGAUAUAUAUUGAUAUAUCAUGAUAUAUAUUGUUAUAUUAUGAUAUAUAUUGCUAUAUCAUGAUAUAUAUAUUAUCAAUAUAUAUAUAUAUAUAUUGAGAUACCAUGAUAUAUGUUAUGAUAUAUAUUGAUAUAUCAUGAUAUAUGUUGUUAUAUCAUGAUAUAUAUUGUUAUAUCGCAAUAUAUUGAUAUAUAUUGAUAUUGAUAGCAACAUAUAUCAUGAUAUAUAUAUUGAUGUAUCAUAUGUAAAUAACAUUACUGAAAUAUUACGAUGUAAGAUAUAUAUGCAUGUAUCCGAUAAAAAACAAAAUAUCACGAUACGUAAUUGCAUAGCAAAAUAUACUAUCGAUGCAGACAUUUAAUAAGUGGUGGCCCACUACAGAUUCUCUGUCGCAUCUGUCUCCUACGAAAUUAUCUCUCUUAUAUUUUGGAGGAUAUUUUUGUCCAGAAUUUGUUACUAUACCACUUUCUCUCUUAUUUUUGCAAAGACCAAAAAAUAUACACCAAAUUUCUAAUUAUUUCUUAAAAAAAUAGCAUACAGCUAAUUGCCGGUUUUAGGCCGAGACCUAUAUAUCUCCAUAAAUCUAUAUCAACUGCUAUUUGAUUUUGUGAUUUAUCAAAUUAUCCCAUAGUAUUUUUUAAGUCGAACUAUCAACUUUUAGUCAAAGACAUAUAAUUUUUAUUUUUUGUGUUCAGACGAGUUGACGUUAACAAUGGUUUAAAUGUUAAUUGUUAUGAUCUCAAACCUAGACUACCUAGAAAGAAAAAAAAUUAAACCAUAUAUCCAAAAUUUAUAGUUACCAAGAUACAUAUUUUUGCCUCUCUUUUUUUCUGGAUCUUAAUUUUGUACUUAUCUAGUGCCAAGCAAAGAUUGUGUGAAGAACCAAAAGCUGAGUGGGAUCCGCGGAUAUCUCGGGAUAACACCAAAGUCACUAACAUAAAAUGGUUUAUUUAAAAUUUUGUAUUAUUUGUGUCAUUGUGUGAGAUAUAUAAAACUUUUGUAUGAUAAUGAUAACUCUAAAAGGUUAAAAAAAAAUCGAAAUAAAUGAAUGGAAAAUGAUAGAAAUAAAAAUGAAGGACCAGCGCAUGCUUGAAAUAAAUGAUGACAGAGACAAAAUGUGAAAUUGUCGAUCAACUUUUCAGCUUUGCAAAUUGCGGCCAUUUUAUCAUAUUGAACAAAAGAUAAAGAAAUUAAAAUGAAGUAUCGUUUAUAUAAUGUUUUUUUUUUGGAUUAGCAAGAGACUAAAUGCUCAUAAUCCGUUCGGACCAGAUACUCUAGAGUAGGUAAAUUAGUCUUCUCCCCAACUUCGAGAUUCGAACUUCCGUCUUUAAACCAUAUUCUCUCUAGAGGUAUACUAUUACACUAGAAGAACUAUAGAAUUGAUCUAAAAAGAAAAGAAAGAGCAAACGAGAGAAGAGAAAUUAUAAACUGUUUAAAAAUCUUCUAUAAUUCAAAUCUGAAAUUCAAAUAUUAAAUUAUACAAAAUAAAUUCAUUUAAUUUGUUCUAUAUAAUUAUAUAAAAGAAUAAAGGAUAUAUGAAGUAUCUAUAAGGUUUGAUUGGUAAUCUUCAACAACCUCGUUUGCAAACAAACCACUCUGAAGCUUAUCUAUAAAUAAAGCGGUUGAAAGAAAUGGUUGGAAGAGAAAAAUGGGCGGUUGCCAACCACCAAAAAUAAGACGGUUUGUUUGCAAAAAAAAAAACGGUUAGAUUUUUCAUUCUACUUAUUUUAAAAAUUAAUUUUACAUAUAUUAUUCUCUAGAGGAAUUUAAAAAAAAAAAUAGAAAUAAAGUUUUGAAAUAUUAUUCAUAUUUUAGUUUAUGUUAUGUUAUUUUGUUUUUGUAUAACAACUUUUUUACUAUUCAACCGCUUGUUACGAAUCAAAACCAUAAUUUAGCCACUCGUUUAAAUUUAACCGCUUUCUUUCUCUCCUUAAUCGCCUUCUUCACAUCCGUUAAAAGAACUCUUAACAAUUUUACCAACCAAAUACAUAUUCUAUUUCUAUAAUAACCAAUUCAAUCCAAUUAGCCAUAAAUACUUAUAGGUAUAACUAGUAAUAGCAGAAUGUAUGCAUGUAUGAUUACAUCAUUUACAUGCUUAGUCAGUAGCGAAAUCUGUGGAACGUUCUAAUCUGAGUAUAAUCAGAUACUUGGUAUGUUUCCAUGCAUCCUACUUCUGUACGACGAGUCUCCCGUAGUAAAUAAUUAUGUCACUAUUUAGGUAGUCAUCGAAUUAUUGAUAUAAAUAUAAGUAAAUUAUAUAGACCUAACUAAGUGUAAUAUAAUUUGCUAAUACAGGAAUAUAUAAAUCGGGUUUAUUGUAACCAAUCAUCACAUUGAUAUGUAUAAUAAUGUAAAGUUAUACUUUUAUUAGUUAGGUAAUUUUUCAGUUACACAAAUAGAAAUGAAUGGAACUUUAGUAAUACCUGACAUGAUUUGAAGUACUGCAUGGAUUCAAAAAUAGUAAGUCCUCUUUUUUAAAAAAAGGAAAAAUCAUUGUCAGCUACACGAACUAUACGCCAACACAUCACCACACAUGCAGACUAUUUUAAUGUUUCGCUAAUUACACGAACUAUUGGUAUUACAUACGGACAUCCCCGAACUAUCAUCGGUUAUGUGUGCAACACCAUAACCAUCAUUUCCAAAUAAUAUAAAUGUCUUGUUAACUACACGAAGUAUUUCUUUUUUUUGUCAACUACAUGAAGUAUUUUCAUUAAUUUUUUUUUAAAACUAAUAAGUUAAAUAAAACUAUAUAAUAUAUCAAUGUAAACUAUAUAUGUACAUUAUAACUAUUCUAACUUUAAAAUUUUAAUGUAAUAAAGACUAAACUAGUUCCAUAAAAAAUAUAUGUGUUCAUUAAAAAUUUGUUAAUUAACUUAAACCUAUAAUGAACAUGUAUAGUUUAAGUAAGUGACACUUUUAAAAAUUUAGUUAAAUUAAUUUCAUAUAAAACAUAUGUGUGCAUUAAGAAUUAGUUAAUUAAUUUAACUUAAAAUUAUAAGGGAUACUCCAUAUGUAGAAUUUAAACUUUAAAAGUUAUAAUGCAUAUAUAUAAUUAACAAUAGUGUAUUAUUUACUUUUAGUUAUUUUUUCAUUUUGUAAUUUAGUUUUAAAAAAAUGAUGGAAAUAUUUCGUGUAGCUAACAAUACAUUUAUAUUAUCUGGAAAUGAUGGUUAUGGUAUAUAUAAUUUACAUUGAUGUAUUAUAUAGUUUUAUUUAACUUAUAGUGAUGUAUAAUUUAACUAAGUGACUAUUUUAAAUUCUUAACAAUUUAAUCUAAUAAAUAUUAAAUUAGUUAAAUUAAUUUAACUUAAAAGUAUAAUGCAUUAAAAGUUAUAAUAUAUAUAUAUAUAUAUAUAUAUAAUUUAUAAUAGUGUAAUAUUUACUUUUUUGUUAUUUUUUAUUUUUAAUUACUUUUUUUAAAAAAAAAUUUGAUGGAAAAUACUUCGUGUAGUUGACAAAAAAAAAAAAUACUUCGUGUAGUUAACAAGACAUUUAUAUUAUCUGAAAAUGAUGGUUAUGGUGUUGCACACAUAACCGAUGAUAGUUCGGGGAUGUCCGUAUGUAAUACUAAUAGUUCGUGUAGUUAGCGAGACAUUAAAAUAGUCUGCAUGUGUGGUGAUGUGUUGGCGUAUAAUUCGUGUAGCUGGCAAUGAUUUUUCCUUAAAAAAACUUCGGGCCUUUGGACUAAAUUCUAUGAAUCUUACCCUGAAAUUCUAUAAUUUGGUCUCGUGUCUUUCCUCUUUAUGGCAAACUUGUGGUGUCAUUUCUUACACAAUAAUCAUAUCUUAGGCCUACCAAUUUUGCCCCUUAGCUAGUUUAAUUGACUCAGCAUUUUAGACUUCACCUUACAUUUAUCUUUUUUUUCUUGAUUAAUCUCACUUAAUUGAUUUUUAUUUUUUAAUGUAAAAGUUAUGUAUUUUUUUCACCAAUAUGGAUUUAGCUAUAUAAUCAAUCGGGAGUUUAUAACUCACUUUAUCUUUUCUUCUUCUAUAAUAAACAAGUUCCAUAUUGAUUAAAAUAGAUCAUUAAUAGAACAAAUCAUGCAUAGGGCGGCCUACUAAUUCAUGCGUAAAAUACUUUUAGUUAUUCUAACCCUUAAUUUUAAUUUCCGCCCAACGUAAUUUUAAUUUACAGCAUGGUCGAAAAUUAAAAUUUUACAACUAAACAUUCAUCCCUAUAAUCUCAUCCUAUGAUCGUUAUCACACUACUAAUACAUUUUACUAUCAAGUUGGUGUAGCGCAUUAAUCCAUAAUCAUACCUUCUUUUUUUUUAUUUCCUAGAUCCUCUUUUUGACAACAUGAUAAUCAAAGAUAUUAGUGUGAAAACGAUCAUAGAGUGUUUAGUUGUGAAAUUUAGUUUGGACAUGUAUCUUUGUGCUCUAGUUUUAUUAUUAUUUAUAAACAAAACAUGUAAAAUUUCAUCUUUUACGUUAUAUCGUUUAAAUAAUCGGAACAUAUGAACGUGUUAACAGAACUUUAUUUAAGUCAAACCACUUUACUUGGUCGCCAUGAUGAAUCUAUAAUCAUGAGAAUGUAGGGAUUAAUAAACUAAAUGGUGGAAUGGGGAUAGGAAGAUUGCCAUUUGAGGAAAGGUGUGUUUCGUUAAAUGUGUUUGGUCCAUGAGAGGGGACAUAUAUAUUUAAGGUUUGUGCCAAAUGGUUAACCAUAAAUGAGAGAUGGGUUCAUGAACAUGGACGACAUUGUCUCAACUUUAUUUUGGAACUUGAUGCACAUGCCUUGUUCUCAUCUAUUCAUUACAUAUAUAUAUAUAUAUAUAUAUAUAUAUAUAUAUAUCUAACCUGGGUCACACAUCCAUGACACAUCUUCUCUCAGUAGCCACAAAUAAUAGAGCACUCACUUUUGACAUAUAUAUAGACUUACUACAUUAUUUUGAUAAAAAGAAUUUGGUUUGAGUUAAUAGAAGUAUAAAAAGUAAGUUUUAAUAAAAUUCACAAGACGAAAUAAUUUAUCUGGUGAGUGAUACAAAUAGACAAAUUAAGCGAUUUUUAUGGAAUAACAGACUGUCAGAUAAAAUAAAAUUUGUAUACUGAAAAUGUGUUGGAUGGUAUGAAAGCCAAAACUAAAAUACUCUAUAGAUUUAUUACAUCCAUAUAUAUAAGACUGUAAUCUUUUAUUGUUACUAAAGUAUAUGAGAUCGUAGUUAUUAAAAGUCAUUUUUUUCUCGUGCGCAAAAAAAACAACGAUUUUCUUAAAAAAUCAUAUUGUGAAAGAAGAAAACAUUUCAAGUUUUCAAUAUAAUAUAUUUGUGGAUGCUAAACGAUUUUGGUUUUUUUUUUUUUUUUUUUUCUGUUUGUGUUUCACAGUUUCAAAAUUGUUCAAAAUACUAAAAGACUAGGAUAUGACCCGCGGUACACCGCGGGUUAAUUAUUUGAUUUUUUUAUUUUUAUAAAUUGAUGAAUUUAUUGUGUAUAAUAUUUUUUGUUGUAUACCGCGGGUAACAUGCGUUGUAUCUAAAAUAAAAAAUUUUAAGUUGUAUUUGUUUUGUUUAGUGUUUAAGAUUGUAUAAUUGUAUUUUGAUUUGUUAUUUAUAGGAUUUCACCUGUGGUAUAUUGUCUCGUAUUAAUAUUGACCCAAACCCGUCCAACCAUAUAAUCUAAAAUGAAAUUAAACAUCAUUUUGUUAUUUUUUUAAUAACACUUUUAUUUAAAUGUCAUAUAAUUCGAGUUAAUUUGAAAGUUGCUUUCAAAUAGUUUCCAUGUAUAUUUUUAAAUUAGUGUGUGUUUUUGGACCAACCCGUAAAAACAAUUUAUAAUUGUAUCUUAAAAUACUAAUUAGGAUUUCACCCGUGAUAUACUGUCCCAUUUUAGAUAAUUGUAAAAAUUAAAGAAAGAUCCGAAUGACUCAAUUUCGGGUCUGAAUAAAAUAACGACAUGAUUAAAUGCUCAAUUUGUUCUUAAAAUGUUAAUAUAGAUUACACACAUAUUUUUAUUCAUCGAUUGAGUAAUAUAUGUCCGUUUUAAAAAAUUUGAAUUGUAACAUAUGCAGAAAAAAAAAAACUAAAAUUUACUAACUAUUUAUAUAUUUUAUAAUAAUUUAAAAUAAUAUAAAUAUAAGAUCAAAUAAAAGUGAAAUAAAAAUCAUAUAUUUAUGUUUAAAUUAGGUAGAGAGGUUUUAGGAAAUUAGUGCAAAUUUGUUAUAUUAGCAUUAAAUCAUCAUAUUUGAUUUCUUUAUCUAUAAAAAUCGUGGAGAAUAUACCAUAAAUAAAGCGUUUAAAUAUAGUAAUUAGUUGAGAAAGUAUAUAUAUUUUAGAUUUUAUUAAUUAUUUUUGUUUUUUAAUUUUGCCAAAAUUUAAGGAAAGAUCCGAUUGAAGAUUUCCGGGUCAAAAUUAAACAAAUUUGACCCGAUUUGGGUACCCCAAAAACUGCUGCAAAAAUGUAUAGUAGACUAGAUUGUUACCCGCGGUACACUGCGGGUUAAUUAUUUGAUUUUUUUUUGUCUUUUUAUAAACUGAUGAAUUUGUUGCAUAUAAUAUUUUUUGUUGUACAUUGCGAGUCACAUGCGUUGUAACUAAAAAUGAAAAUUUUAAGUUGUAUUUGUUUUGUUUAGUGUUUAAAAUUGUAUAAUUGUAUUUUGAUUUGUUAAUCCCAGGAUUUCACCCGUGAUAUAUUAUCCCGUAUUAAUAUCAAUCCAAAUCCGACCCGUCCCACCAUAUAAUCAUGUCCCGUAAAAUUAAACAUCAUUUUGUUAUUUCUUUUAAUAACACUUUUAUUUAAAAGACAUAUAAUUCGAGUCAGUUUAAAAGUUUGCUUUCAAAUAGUUUUUAUAAUAUAUAUAUAUAUAUAUAUAUAUAUUUCAAAUUAGUGUGUGUUUUUAGACCAACCCGUAAAAUAUUUUAAAAAUGUAUAUUAAAAUACUAAAUAAUUGUAUUUCGAUUGGUUAAUUUUAAGAUUUCACCGUGGUAUAUUGUCCCGUUUUAGAUAAUUGUAGAAAUUAAGAAAAUAUCUGAAUGACUCAAUUCCGAGUCAGAGUAAAAAAAAAAAUACGACCUGAUUAAACGCGCAAAUUUGUUUUUCAAAAAUGUUAAUAUAGAUUGUACACAUACUUUUUUCUUCAUCGAUUGAGUAAUAUAUGUCCGUUUUAAAAAAUUUGAAUCAUAGCAUAUGCAGAAAAAAAUCGAAUUUUUUUAUUAAGUAUAUAUAUUUUAUAAUAGUUCAAAAUAAUAUAAAUAUAAGAUCAUAUAAAAGUGAAAUGAGAAUCAUAUAUUUAUGUUUUAAUUAGGUAGAGAGGUUUUAGGAAAUUAGUUCAAAUUUUUUAUAUUAGCAUUAAAUAAUCAUAUUUGAUUUCUAUAUCUAUAAAAAUUGUAGAGAAUAUGCCAUAAAUUAAGAGUUUAGGUAUAGUAAUUAGUUGAGAUAAUAUAUAUAUUUUUUAGAUUUUAUUGAUUAAUUUUCGUUUUUUAAUUUUGUCAAAAAUAAGGAAAGAUCCGAUUGAAGAUUUCCGGGUCAAAAUUAAACAAAAUUUGACCCGAUUAGGAACCCCAAAAAGUGUUGCAAAAAUGUAUAGUAGAUGUAUAUGUUGUGGGAAAAAAUACCAAUAGAACUAGUUUUUUGUAUAUAAUAAACAAACAAGGGGAUAUCGCUAAAAUAGCAGCAAAAUUACCUAUAAAAACACUCUCGAAACAUUAUCAAAACAUCUUCUUAAAACUCUUUAAAUAUGAUCACCACAUAUGGCAUGUUCUCUCAUAACUUCUGUUUUUAAUAUAUAGGAGGUGAGAUUGUUUACACUUACUUUCACGUAUAAUGUUAAAAACUAGUGAAAACUUAUAUAAGACCUUCAAAAAAUAACACUCGAAAUAGAAAAAUAACGAACCAAACAGAACCGUCAACAAUGUUGAUGGCUGUACUUGAUCAUACGAUUUGUCAAUUUAUUUGUACCACUUAUUGAAUUUGAAUCCAAAUAGAUUACGUAAGGUACAGAAUACCAGUAGCUCUCCAUCAUGAUGGCACAUAAAAAUGUCUGAAUUUGACCCUAAUUCUAGAAUUCGAUUUCGUUACCACCAAAAGUUAUGGUCUCAAAGGCAUAUUUUCUCUUAAAUUAAAACACUUUCUUUUAUAAAUUGAGAUAAAUUGACACGGAGAAUAAGCUCUUUAGGGUUAUAUACAUAUUCUUAGUUUUUUUCUUUCAAGAAGGGAAUAAAUUCAAAAUGGAAUGUUUUGUUCUAUACAUAAUGAUAGAGAUAUAUCAGUUAGUUUAUAUUCUGUUAUUGACAAUACUUAAAAUUUCCAUCAGUAUAUAAUGUCUUAUGAUUUUAUGCAUGAACUUUAGAAUAUUGUUGAAACUUGACCAGAUAAUUGAUAAUGCUUCAUGAUGUGAUUUAAGCUUACCAACCCACUAAAUAACACAUAAAUCUAUUCAUUAUCUCUCACAGCCUAGAUUCCUACUUACUUAUAUAUGCGUGUAAUUUCAUGUAACGUUAACAUCACAAACUCAUGUAUGCCUCGGAGAUAACAUCACAAAAUUUGACAACUUUUUGAAUUUUCCAUUUCAUAAUUUUGUUUGACUUCAUCCACACGAUUAAAUCGUAGUUGUAAUUCGUCGUGUCUUAGUUUGAUAGUCAAUUUGUAAGAUUUCUCAAGUGAUUAUCAUGUUACAUUGUAGAUCAUUGCGUGAAUAUAUGAAACAACCUCGACACUAGUGGACCAUGUAUCCGAUCAGGCCCAAUAACUGAUGAUGUGAAACAGGCCUCCACCAAUCUUUAUACUUAGCAAUAGCAUCUCUACAACUUGUUAAUUUAAGAAAGAAAAAAAAAAGGCAAAUGGUCUAUAUAAAUCACUAUCAACUUAAGACAAUAUACAAAUUUUGGGUCCAAAUUUGAUGAAAUAUUCUACGUGACUACGUCGAAUUGAUUAUUGAGUUUGACGAAAAACACAACAGAGAUUAUAUAUAUGUCGUCUAAACUAUGUUUACUAUUGAUUUUAAAAAACUCUUAUUAAUAACGAUUGAAAAUAUAUAAUGACUUCAAUUAUUGUUUUUGAAGUGAAUAAGUGAAAAUUUACUAAACUCACUGUGAUAAACUUAAAUAAAAGGCAUACUGAUUAUCAUAUAUAUAUUAAACACACUGUUUUUUAAAAAAGAUCUAUAAAUUUUUAUAUUGUUUACAACGUUAAUUAGUGAUACCCUUUGAUUAGUCACCAUUUAUUUAUUUUUAAUACAACAAUUAGUGAUCAUGUAACUAACAAUAUAAAUAUGCACAAAGAAACUGAACAUAUAUCAUCGUCGAUCAGAUCAAUCCAUGAAUUUUGCUCAGUAAAGAUCAAGAACGUCAAAGAUCGAACGGUUACAAAGAGGACACGUCCCACGAUUCAUCCAAAUCUCUCUUGAACAAACUCUACAAUACAUAUGUCCACAGGGAAUAAAAGCCGCACCUUUCUCUCUUCCCGUACAAACGCAACACAACGUAUCACUACCCAAACACGUCGUCGAAUCACAACCGUCCGAUUCCGCAAGCAACCUCAUCAACGGUACUUUAGCAACUGAAGUCUCCUCCGCAGUAACGUGCGCUAAUCUCUCCUCCGCUAAAGCUUCCGCAAGGUUCCUCGUCACGCCACGUGUCAAACAAUCCAACUCCAUACCCGUACCCGAACCCGUAAGGUCAAUGACCCGGUUUUGACUUUCUUCUUCAUCAUCAUCAUCGACAACGAUUGGUGUUUCCGAUUGUCUGAGACGCAGAGUAAGAGGCUUACCACAACAACCAACCCAGUCAAAUCUCAGCCGUUGCUUCAACGUAGUCCAUUUACUCAUCGUUCGAUCUCCACCGUUGAUUUGAUCUUCUUCAAGCAAACUCAACAUCAUCGUCCUCUCACUUCUUGUUCCAUCUUCUGAUUCUCUAAGCAAAUCUCCGAGUUGACUCAUCGUGACUCGGACCCGUUAAAAAAAAAAAGAAAAACAAGAAAUAUAUAACCGUUUUGGCUCAAAAUUCACGAGAGAUAUAAAAGCUUUAAUGGCUCCAAUCAAUAAAUGUUUAAGCAAGAACUCUUGUUUUUUUUUUCUUGAGUUGUCUGAGAAGAUCACAAAUUUGGAUAUAAAUAUUAAAUGUUUCAUUUUUGUAAUAAUACAUUAUGUUAUUAAAAUGGAGUAAAUGACAAAAAUUAGGAGAAUAAUUAGUGGGAACCACUCAAUAGUAACGUAUGGAUUUGACUUACGUUAUGUAUUAUAGAGAAUCGCACGUAUUUGUCGAUGUUAUGAUUUUAUAUUAUUUUCAUAUUGUGGUUACAUCGAUUUUUUAUUAAUUUUUCAUUGGUUGGUUUGUUUUCGUUCAGAAAUAAGAUUGUUUGUCCGUUAGGGAAGGCAAUUAUUAAAUAUGUUGCUUCUUCAAACAAUUGUUCUUAUAUUAAUCAAUGAUUGAAGGUGUUUUAUUAUAUACUAAACUUUUGAAACAUUAAAAAAAACAGAGAUUAACCAAAAUUAAAAUUAAAAAUAUGAUCUUGAGAUCAACCAAAAUUUCGUGACCAAACCAAAAAAAAAACAGAGAUUAACCAAAGAAUAAAUAUUUGGGCCUAAAGCUGAAGGCAUAAGCCCAAGGUACCAGGCCGAUAAAAUUGUUUUGGGUUCAAGAACACAGUCAAGAAGCUAGGUUAGGACAAGUUUAGUUGUUAUUGAUGGAGAUGACUCGCCAAUUAUUGUCGACAUGUGGGACUCUAGCAACCAUCUUCUUGAACUUGAUAUUGAAUCAUCUUUAUUUUUGAUUCCUAUUAGUAAGAACUUUAAAAACCAUUGAACUUAAUAUUUUACCAAAAAAAAAAAAAAUCACUUGAAAAACCAAUGUCACUGGGUGACCAAAGAGGUUCCUACUACUUUCGGAUUCGAUACAACACAUUUAGGUUAUAGAGUUGCAAUCAACCCAAAUAUACUGAAUUUGUGCUAUUAUUCUCUAACUUUCUGCUGUUCAAUGUCACAAAUUUUUAGUUGUAAUCAAAUUAAUAUACUGAAUAUACUGAAUUAUAUUCUUGCAUUCUUUAAUUACUAAUCAAAUUAAAUUGUGAAUAUUAUGAAAGUGCAUAACUCAAAAUAAUUUGGAGAAAGAAACGAAAAAUUGUGUUCGAUAUACAACUACAACGAAUAUAAGCUAUGAAGAAUAGACUCAAUUUUCUUGUUUUUUUUUUUUUUUGCUUACAUAAAUUCUUUUUUUACAUUAAUUCUUUGUUUUAGUCUUGUCGAUAGAUACCAAGUACCACCAAUCAGAUUGAGAGAAGCUAUAGAAUUAGUGAAAAUCAUAUAAGGGAUGAAAGAAAGGUAAGGUUGGGGACGGGUGGUCCAAAUGUAAGCCAUUAGAGCAUCUCCAAAGGGGGGUUUUCUUCUCUUAAAUAUAGGGUUCUCUGCUUUAAUGGUAAUAAAAAUAAAUGAAAACACACAAUUAUCUAAAGAACCGGCUCUGUGGACAGAGUUUUGAGAACCAGAGAGAGACGCAUACGUGUCAAUCCCUGAUGAUUUUUAACAAAAAAAAACGCGUUCUGUUUCUCUCUUCAUCGUAAAGUUCUUUCUCGACUCUCUUUCUCUUUAUCAUCUCUUGCCGGAUGCGAUUCACCUGAGAUUUCCUUGAAUCCGUUUAUUGCUCUUCGCGAUGGCUCUUAUCCUGAUUCACCAACCGUCUCUUUAAUUCCCGAUAGCCAUGGCUCUUCUCCUCACACGAUUAUUCCGAUUUCGUCUGAGGGAGCUAAAUUGAUCGAUUUCGUGCUAAACGUUGUUAGAAAGGAAGCUGAGAAUUGCGACUGCUUACAAGGUAAGACUCACUCACUCUCCAUUUCCAUGUUUCGUUAUCAAUCGAGCUUAAUUCAGAUUUUUUCGCCUUUUAAUUUUGUCAAUUCGAAGUGUUUAGAGUUGUGGAUUUGAUGUUCUUGUUAUUGAUUCAAACGUUUGACCAAAUUAUGUUUGGUAGUGUAUGAUGAGAAACAUACAAAUCUAUUAAUUAUGGGACUUUGGCAUUGAGAUGAUUAGAUUUUUGAUUGUCAAUGGGAAUACUAAAUUGUAUCUUUCAUAAACAUCGUUGGCUCUUAAUCUUAUGUUAGUUCCACUAAUCUCUCUCACCUCAUUGCCACCAAUUCUCAUCAUCUCAUCAUCCAUUGCUUCAAUGGCUUAUGUUUCUGGAAUCAAAGUGAGAGUCAAAGUGAUGAUCUUUGUUGCUUCAAUGGCUUAUGUCUAUGGAAUCCAAUCUUGAGUGAUGAAGAGUAUGAUAAGCUCAAACUGAAACUAAAGACAUAGAAGUUGGUAGGAAUCUUGGAAACUGGAUUCUUCGUUGGCUUGAUCGGAUGAAACCAGCAGCUCAUAUCCGUACUCAACCAUUCUGGUGAUGGUUUUGGCCGCCCCGAAGACAUUUCUGAUCAGCGGUGUGAUCAUGGUUCUUGGAUUAUGCUUGUACCCAUUCUUAACACUCGUUAAGGAGAACCUGAGUUGAAAUAUGUAAAAACCUGAGUAAAUUCAUUCAGUUUUGUUGAUCUCUGCCCAAACUUUCUAAUUCCAGUUCUUGAGUUUUACACAGUUGCACCUUUGCCAAGUCGCUUUAGGUUUCUUGCGUCGACAUCUUCUGUGCUUAUCUCAUUGCAUAUUAGACAUUUUGGAGGCAUGUUUUUACCAUAUAAUGAUUCUGCAGCUUUUGGUUAUUAAACUCAAAGCAAAACCUAACUUAAACUACAAAUGGCUACAUCACUCAUUACUCAUUACUUGCUACUAUUAUGUAAUGAACGUGAUGUAAAACAUCAAGCUCAAAUCAAAAUCCAAAUAUGACAAGUAUUUGAUGUAUUUCUUGCUCAAAUAUAUGACAAUUUUUUGCUCAAAUCAACAUAUGUGAUAACACAUGAAUCUCUAUUUUGCAUUUAACAAGUAUUUAAUUUAAUUCUUUGUUUUGUCAAUACACUAAACACCUAUUACACCAAUUACUUUGUCUCAAUACACAAAAUUAAAUACAUUUAAACCAAAUUUUGUUUUUUUUCCAAAGAACCUCCAUUAGAGAGCCUACCAUUGGACUAUGAAAAAUUAAACAAAAAAACAAAAGUUCUCAUCUAACAUUUUUCAAAAUUUAUAUUAAACAACUUGAGAGAGUCUCAUGAUGAGAGCUCCCCAUUGAAGAUGCUCUUAUUGUUUGAAUGUUUGGUAUAAGAGGGGAACAAGGAGAAUAUCUAUUUGACGUUUGUAGUUACCAAUCAAUCUCUUGUCUUAUGUCGUUUCUAUCAUAUCCUAACUUGAAGUUGUGGCUUGUGCACUAUAUACGAUUAACUAGUAUUCAACUUUUAAUUUACCAAAUUUGCUUUUGAAUACCAGUCAAACCGUAAGAGUUAGAUCAGAUGUUACAAGACUUAAUAAUAAGUCAAUUCUUUUUGGUCGAUGACUAGUUUUGAUUCUUUUUGUUUAUUGCCUUCUUGGGUUUGAGAGAAUUCAAAACUCUCUACUCAUUUCUAUUUUUUCACUACAUACAUUUUUUUUGUUCAUACUGUAUUCACCAUAACAAAACCAAAUUUUCGGAUAAAAUUAACCCAUUAUCAUCCGCUUGUGAUUUAUGUCAUACAAUUUUUUUCUUUCUAAAUGCGUGAUAAUUCUUUUUGUAUAUAAACUUGAAAUAUCAUUAAAAAAUUAUAAUGCAAGACAUUCUGCAAAAUAAUUCAUAUCGCAAUUUCAAAAUAUCCAUGGCGAUUUUACAUAUUCUAUUUUGCCUUUAAAUUUCAUAUGUUUAAAAAUUGACAAAAAAUAUGUUUCAAAUCUGAUUGUUAAGAAUAUUGGAAUAUAAGAAUAUUUUAUAGAUAUAGAAAAAUCUACAAGAAAGAAAACAUGGCUUAAUUAUUAAUUACUAAAAAUAUUGGAAUAUAAGUAUGCUUAUUAUAACAUGGCAAACAAAAUAACAAAUCUUUCAAUAGUAGACAGAGGUGACUUAAAGCAAGGGAGAGAGAGUGAGAGAUUGUAGUUUGUCUCCCUCUUCAAUGACGUCUCACGACCUCACCUUUUCUCCUUUAUUCUCUCUUCCCUCUAUUUUUAUUAUUAUCCUAUCGAUACACAUUUCUCCAACAUUCAUACUCUUCCCGUUUCAAAAUAUAAAACGUUUUGAAAAAACUUUUUUAUUUCACGAGAUAAGUCGUUUUCAAUUUUCUCUACAAAUUAUAUAUUAUUUUAAUAAUUUAUGAUUAGUUCUAUUAUACAAUAUUUUUUAUGAUUGACUGAACUUUUAAAAAAUAGAUUUUCUUAAUCGACGUACUUUUAGAUAAAACGCCUUAUAUUUUAACACGCAGGGAAUAUAUUUAUGUAUACUUACGUAUGUAUCUACGGGUUUUUGUGUAAACAUGUGGAUGUGUUAAUAGUUAUAUACGGUGUUCUAAAAAGCGGUUUAGGCGGUCGCCUAGACCUCGACUAGGCGUUAGGUUCUCAUGCGACGCCUAGAUAACCGCCUUGACCGCCUAAAAUUACAUAGAUCUUGUUUAAUGUAUUUUUCAAUUUCAAUUAAAGUUUUUUAUAUAUAUAUAUAUAUAUAGUUAUAAAUAUUCAUAUAUUGUUUAAUAUAAAUAUAAAUAAAUAUUUUAUCUAGUUUUUGUUUAUAAUUUCAUAAUGUUUAGCUUUAUAUAGAUAUGUUAUAUAUAAUAUUAUAUUUAUAAUUUUUUAUGUUAUAAACGUCUAAACCACUUAAAAAUCGUCUAGGCUCCGAUUAAGCGUUUUAAGCAUUAGGCACUGGAUCAACGUCCGUUUAGCGCCCACCACUUUUUUGAACACUGGUGAUGUACUGAAGUGUUAAUAGUGUGCUAAGGAAAACCCUAACCCUACAAAUGUGCGACUACCUAAAUUUUGGAAUUUCUAGAGGUUGAAUGCUUCCAACGUUAUUAGGUAAUUUUUCGACGUUUUAACAAAUGUUAAUAUAUCUCUUAAUUACUUUACAAGUAGUUUAUAUCACUAACUCAUAAAAUAAUUUGCGAAGUGAUUAGUUUAAUGGUUUGCAGGAAAAAAUAUAACGAUAUUUUGUUGUUGGAUAAUAUUUUUUUUUUUGGUUAAUAUUUUCUCACCGUUUGGUGUCAUCGCAUAUACGGUACAAUUUUUGGUUAUGAAAAGGAAAAGAAUAAACAAUACAUUGUUGAAAAGGAAAAAUUAAAAAUAAACUAGUUCCACUUCCAGUAUUCAAUAAGGACAUAGGAUGUAAUUAAAUGUCAUAAAUAUUGUCAUUUUAUGUUGAGAUUGAUAUUUGUGGGUACGGUGAUACCUUUCACGGGGAGCCCUAUGGGCCUACUAUGAUUUGAAGGUUACCAUAUUGGAUAUAUAAAAUACAUACACUAUAUCAUCGCAAUCUUCAUUAUUCAGCUUCUUGAAGAUGAUAUAUAUCAACAUUCACCGUUAUUGUUUCUGUGUGUCCAAUCAUGGUUGGACCACGUCCACGAAAUAGAUAUCGAGUGAAAGUAUCGUUGUUGACGAGUAAUGAUACAUGGUGUUUCUUUUUCUAUAAAAAUAAUCAUACAUGAUGUUUUUUUUUCUGAUAAAAUAAUGAUAUAUGAUGAUGUUAUUAGAAACAAAAUAGCAUAAUUUUUUUUUUUACAUUUCAUUAAAUGCGACAUUUUUUAUUAAAAACAAAUAUAACAUGCAUAAGCAAUUUAUAUUUUAUUUUUGAAUUAUUGUUGAUUUUACCAUUUUUACACCCAAUUCUUUAGAUUUUCCGUUUUUCUUCAAAUAUUUUAGAUCUGCUAUUUUUAUCACUUUAAUAACUAGAAAUUUGGGAAUUUGUUUUAUAAAUAAAAAAUAUAAACUCUAAAAAUAGUACAUAAAAAAAAAACUUAAAUAUAAUGUGUAAAAUUGUGUGUUUUAAAUAUAAAAAUGACAAAUCUAAAAUAUUUAAGACAAACGGGCAAAACAAAAAAAAUCUUUUUCCUAGUUGAUUCUUUAUUUUUACUUUAAAAUUACAUUCACUUUCCACCACCAUAAAUUCAAAUAAAAAAAAAAAGAUGAUAUAAAUUUAGGAAAAAUUCGUUUAAUAGCCGAACUUUAAAAAAAUGGCCGUUUAAUACGUGAACUUCUGAUAUGGCCAAUUUAAACACGAACUUAACGUUGACCGGCCAUUUUAACUAAAUGUAUUCGUUGACCAGGCCAAAACGCCACACCGUUAGCAGUCACUAACAGAGCCGAUAACGGCCGUUUACACUCUUUAACGAGUCUCCGUUGUGGAUGUCAGAUUUACAUACUCAAGUAUUUAUUUAUUUAGUGAGAAGGAUUAUUCUUGAAGGCAAAAUUUGAUGUGUAAAAGCUAUGAAUUGGUAUGAAAAUGGCUAUAGUAUGUUUUCUAGAAAAUUGUGUGGCCCUUGGCCCUCUUCCUUAUACUCGUAAAUUACACAUUUAAUCCCUAAUUACAUAUAAUUAUUCUUUCUUAAAUGUGCCCGUUACGGUCUUCGAAUUUAUUGCUCCAACGUUUGAAUUUGAACUGAUCCCGAUUCUUUAUUUUUACUUUAAAAUUACAUUCACUUUCCACCACCAUAAAUUCAAAUACGAAUUUGGAUUACGAAUUUGGAUUACUUAUUUUGGAGAAUACCUUCGGAAUUUGAUUCAUAAGCGUUUCCAUGGAUUAUUUGGUAUAUUUGGAAAGCAAAGAACGAAAAAAUCUUUGAAAACAUAGAUACAGACUCGAUAGAGGUAUUACGAUUAGCGGAAGAAAAGGCCCAAUUGUGGCAAUCAGCUCAAAUUGAGCUCCAUAAUGAAAAUCAUGGUUCUGUGGAUUUGGUAAAUCAGAUUCGAGUGAGGGAUGUUUCACUUGACUCGAAUUAUUCCGGAUACCGUUAUUUUGUGGAUGGAUCAUGGAAAGAAAGUGACAAGUUCUCCGGUCAGAGUGGUUCUGUACAUCGUCAAAUGGGAACCGCCAACCAUGGGAGCUGCGAACCUCCGUAGAAGUCUAUCUCCACUACAUGCCGAAAUCGAGGCCCUUCUCUGGGCGAUGAAGUGUAUGAUUGGUGCAGAUAAUCAAGAGGUAGCGUUCUUUACAGACUUUUCAGACCUGGUGAAGAUGGUGUCUUCUCCAACCGAAUGGCCGGCGUUUUCAGUGUACUUGGAGGAAUUUCAGAGCGAAAAGGAGGAUUUUUCAUCUUUUUCUUUAUCUUUAAUUUCUCGUAGGACUAAUGUUAAAGCGGAUAAUCUGGCACGAAAAAUUCGUACAAAACCGCUUUAUAUCAUUUAUGUAAACAACAUUCCUCAAGAAUGAUUCUUUUGAGCUCUAAUUAAUUUUGGAUGACAAAAAAAAAAUCAAAUAAAAAAAAGAUGAUAUAAAUUUGGUAAUAUUUCUUCUUUUUUGCUCUCUACAAACAAAAAGAAAGGUGAAAAAAAGGAAACUAGAGAGAAUAAAAUUCUAAGACAAAACAUGCAUAAAAUACCUAAAUUAUCUUUAAUAAACACCCGUUUCCUAUUAAUCAGCUACCUAGUUGUGAGGUCAAACAACCGAAAGAUUUGACUACAAUUUUACAAAAAUAUGUGAUUGUUUAGCCAAUUCGAAUGAAGAUCAUUUUUCUUCUAUACUAUCCUACUAAUCGGCUUUGGUAUUAAACACAUAUUAAAUAAGACUACACUGGCAUAUAAUCUACAAUGGUGUGUACAUACCCCGCAUAUAAUCUACCCCGCAUCUCCAUUUAUUCUUCAUAUCCGAAUAACCUCUAGCACGGUCUCAUGGCACCGGGGAGUUUGGUUUGCACACGCAACACCAAAAUUCUCCUUUUGUGUGUGGUUAGCAGCUCAAAACAGGCUCUCUACUGGCGAUCGUAUGAUCAAAUGGCAAGGCGGAGCAGGAACAUGUGUUCUUUGUCAUAGAUGUUUAGAAACCCGGAAUCAUCUCUUUUUUGGUUGUGAUUUCAGCUCUACCAUUUGGGCAGCCCUUGCAAAGGGGCUUCUCAAAACUCGAUACACAACAGAUUGGCUUCUUCUUCUUGACAUUAUAUCUUCCAAACAGCUCAACCGAGUAGAGGGCUUCCUCUUUCGAUAUGUAUUUCAAGCAGUUACCUAUACCAUAUGGAGAGAAAGGAAUGUGCGGCGACAUGGAGAGAACCCACAAACAGCUGAACGCAUCACGGGGUGGAUUGACAAAUAUGUAAGGAAUCAAAUCUCAGCAGUCCGACUUAUGGGAGACAGAAGGUAUGACGACGCGUACCAACUCUGGCUUCAAGCUCGCAGCUAAGCUUCAACGGGAGGUCUAGAUAGUCAAAAUAGUUUCAAAUUUUGCUUCAAUUUUUGUUUCAACCAACCGAUGCACAAGUUGUAAAACCGUACAUUUUUUCUUUUGAAUAUAAUUUAACAUUGCAUUAAAAAAAAAAAAUGGUGUGUACAUACAUGGACAUGUUAAAAUGUUACAGAAUGAACGAAUGAGUAUCAGAGUAUGACAUGUAUGGCUAUAUACAUACUAUUUGGAAUAUGUGUUUAUUGAAUAAAAAGUUAUGUGACUAGUUUAGCAAGACAUAAUGAACCGUAUUAGAAACCAUGCACCCGAAUAGGAUUUACUUAUACAUACCUGUUUAUGUAUUGGAUUUGACUCUCGUCGUUUUAAAUUUCGUUUGAGAUUUGUUAAAAUUGUUUCAAAUUAGUCUAUUGAACCUCUGUUUUUAAACGGUUAGAAGUGUCAAAUAUUUAAUACUAACGACAGUGAUCGAUAGACGUAGUAAUACUAGAUCUCUCGAUUAGGGUAUUACUAUUUCUCCUCUUCUCUCUCAAUGCUUUGCUCGAGAGCAUCGAACUUGGCACACGUUAGCACUUGAGAAUGCUUCGUAGACCAGACGAGCUACAAGAGUUUGGUGGUAUUACUAUUUCUCUAAAAGUGAUGUUUUCUUCUUCAAAUUUGUGCACCAUUGGAGAUUUUUUCAAAUAAAAGAAAAAUUUAAUCUCUCAAACAACCAUUUUCAUCCAAAUAAAAAACUAACAGAUUUUACCUUACUCAGAUUUUCUUAAUAUAUAUUUUGAUAAUUUAUAUCAAUCUAAUCAAUAAAUUAAAACACAUGAACUACCACUAAACAUUUGUUACAUGAUACACAACAAUAUAGAACUUAAAUUUAUAGGGUCAAGACUCCAAUAAUGUUUGGAAUUAUUACAAAGCAUCAAAGCAUAUAGAAUCUCCGAGACAUGUAUCUAACUUUUUUUUUUUGUCACGUAUCUAAACAUCAAGAAUCCCAUUAUAACACAACCUAGCUGUCUUCAACAAUUUUUCUUAAAGAGACGAAAAAUUUAACUUCCUAGAAAGUAAAAAAAAAAUUAAAAGAAAAGUUCUUUUAAAUUUUAAUAGAUAUUUAAGCAGUUCAGGACUAGUGUCAUCAUCUUCAUGAUAGUUCUGUUCUAAAGAUGUGCAAGAAGUAUGCAUAAUCUCGACUUUUGUUUUAUGCAGAGUGUUUUUUGGUCAAUAACUAAUCUCUUCGAUAAACCAAUAAAAUAUCCUUAACUUUUCUUUUUUGAUGAUUUGGAAAUAAAAUAGCUUUUCAGACCAGUCAAUAAAAGUAAGCAUGACAUAAUGCAACACGUUCUUUCAUGUAUUACCCAUGAGAUAAUUAACUUUAUUUCGCGUUUAAUGCAUAAAUACCCGUGAUAACACCAUCGCUCACUAAAACAUUUACUUCUCUACUAAAUGAAAUCCUUUCGAAGAUUGACGUGGAGCUGUCGAAAACUUGGUUUGAAAAUCAAACAUUAGCAAAAAUAUAGAUAAUUCAAGAGAAACUAUAAAAUAUAACAAUUGCUCUACCCUUAGCCUCCGUUUAAUUUAACGCCAAACAUUGUUUUAAGAAUAAUGUAUAUUAGUUUCAGUAGGAGAUGUCGAAAUAGUUAUAGUUCAUUUCCAUGGGACUGAGUCUAUACACGAGAGAAUCAGAUUCUCGAUCAAGGUACUGAAAAAAAAAAUACAUACACUUUAUAUUUUUAAUUAAUAGCUAUAUGAAAGAAUUUUUGUCCAAAAAAAAAAGCUAUAUAUAAGAAUAGAGUGUAGGAGAGAUUAGCCCUACUGUUUAAGAGGGAGAGAGUAGGGUCAUUAGGGUUUUAGAGAGAGAAGACAUUCGGACUGUCCCCACUUGCUUUUCUGUAGAAUAGAUUAUAAUAACAUAUUAAAAUUAUCUUUUUAAUUAAAUAUUACAACAUCUAAAAGAAGGAACCAACUUUUUAAAUAAAUGCAGAUUAUAUGCUCUGACUUGGACUAAAUAAAACUUGCAAGUAACAGUUUCAAGCCCUUUUGUUUUAAAACUUUUCUUUCGUAGAAGUGAUAAAUGAUUGCCCUAGAACCGAUAGAUUCUCUAAAAUCCUCCGUAUUACAGCAUUAGUUACCUCCUUUAUUUGACCAUUAGAUAUCCAGUUUCACUUGAGUGACAACAAAAUAAAAAUAUAUCCAGUUUCAUUUCACACGAAGAUGUGGUGGAAGAACUCGAGACAAUUGGUUGAAUAAAUCAAUUUAGUAGUUCUGUAUGAAUAUUUAAUAAAAUUUCAUUUUUUUGUAUAAAAUUUCAUUUUUUUUGUAUAAAAUUUCAUUUUGGAUUAGCAUAAUAUAAUAUUAUCUCUGUUUCAUAUUAUAAGAUGUUUUAGGUUUUUUUUUUCACAAUAUAUGAUGUUUUGAAGAAACAAUUCAAGUUUCUAUGCAAAACAAUAAAUUAAACAGCUUUUUGACUAUUUAUAUUCUGCAGUAAAUUAUAUUAUUGGUCAAAUUAUUUUUAAUAGAUAUUAAUUUGUAUUUUUAAUGUAAAAAACUCACAAUUAAUCACUUUCUUAAAUUUUGUUCUUUUAUCUGAAACAUCUAAUAUUGUGAAACAAAAAAAAUAUCAUCCAUGCAUGUUUUGAUAGGAACAAUUAGCAUACUUUUUACAAAACUAAAAUUAAAAACACAAACUUUUAGUUUUUUUUUACUGCUUAUGGUAUCAUAAAGUUCUGGUUUAUUACGUUCCAUUUGACUUGUAAUCAUCUUUUACCACAACGAUAAAACCAUUUUGAUUGUUACAAUCGACAUGUAAAAUGAGAGAUUUUUUUUUUUAAAAAGUUUUUUUUAUAGAAAUAGACUAAAAUUGAUUAUCAAAUGAAAGAUCCACGAGAAACUCUACCUCUCAUCAAAACAUAGACAUAUAUCUUUUUAUAAGUGGUUUAUACUUUUAGUGAUAAAUCAUUUUUUAGUUUAGAAUAUUGAGUAGAUAGUUUAUAUGCUAUUAGUUUUAUUAACUAAAUGCAGUUCUCAUAAGAAAUGUAAAUAGAUAAAUAUAUAAAUUGAAGAAAUAAGUUUGUUUAGUAGAAUUACUUUCGGUUAUGUAAUGAAUAUACAUCCAAAAUGGCUUUUUAGUAAUGAUGUCUUUUCAUUCUCAUUCCAAUCCCUACUACUUUCAGAUUAUUUGUCCUACUCCUACUAUUAUAGAGAUAUACGUUCGUUUUCAAUAAUAAUAUGAAAAUUGAUAUAUGUUUAAAUAGUGUGAUAGUAAGUUUUUGCAAAUGCAUCACUACUCAAAAUGGCAUAAAAUCAUAUUAUCAUAAAAAGCAGAUAACUGAUAAAACAUUGAUUAAUAUAUAGCUAUAAGUUAAUUAGUAUUUAAACUUUAAAAGGUUAUAUUUAAAUGUCAUAAGGAAAACCUAUGCAAACGAAAACUAUAUAUCUAAUAUUUUGCUAUGCAUGUUAUCCUAAUUUAUUAUGGCUAAAAUCUUAUUAUUGAUAAAAGAAAAUCUUAUUAUCUGGUAUUACUUCGAUUUUAAAGUUCUAUUUGCACAAGAGAAAAUCACUUAUUUUUUUCUUUUUUUAGUCUACACCCAACAUAUUUUUUAUAUUCGGAUAAUUGAAUAGAGAAAAUAAAUUUUUUAUAUUUUAGGGUAUAUAAAAAAUUAUAAAUUGAAGCAACUGAAAUAAAAUUCAGUUUGGCAAUAUAUAAAUAUGAUUUGAUGGGUUCCUUGUAAUCUCCCUCUAUCUAUUAGUUUCUCAGUUAUCUUUUCUUUGCCAGAAAUGGCAGUGAAGGCAGUGGCUGAGGAGAGAGUUUUUUUUUUUCUUUCAUGGGGAAAGUAAAACUUUGCCUUGAAGAUUUAUCUUUUCUUUCAUGAGUAUUUUUCUAAGACAUUUGAUUUCAACGAAUCACUGCCCUUAACCUAAAAGCAAGAAAAAUAAGCUUUAUCCUGAUGUCUUUACUUUAACAUAUAGAUUACUUAAACACGAAUAUAUAGUCAAUAUAUCUAAUUUUAUAUUCCCUCUGUUCCUAAAACAAUAAUGUUUUAGUUUUACACCUAAAUUAAGAAAAAGUAAUUUUUAUAUUUUUUAAUUAUUAUUUUGUUAGUUUAAUAAUAUUAAUUUUACUUCUCUCAUUCUACUAUUGGUCAUAAACAAAAAUAAUAAUGAUGUUUUUACAAAACAUCAAUCUUGGUGGAACAAGUAAAAAACCUAAAACAUCAAAUAACUAGAAACAGAAAGAGUACUUAAAAUUCGGAUAGUGACAGAAAAAAAAAAAGGAAUACAUACGGCUAGUGAAAAGUUGAUCGAAUAAACGGUAUGAAACGAUUACGAAGUUGAAUGAUAAAUGAUAAUCAUAAAAUAAUUGUGGCGCUGAUGUAAUACUUAUCAAAUUUUAAUAAUUCUACCGGUAUUUUUUUUUUCUUUUCUUUUCCAAACAGUGUUGCAGUAGAUGAUAAAAUUUAGGCUUUGAAUGGAUGAUAUGCGAAAAAUAGGUUAAACCGUUAACAGAUUAAACCACUAUAUUUUUGGAGCAAACAACAAACUGCCGUGGAUCAAAUUUAUCUCUACAAAAGAACGGUCCGUAGUUAAUCCGUCGCGGACUUGUUUUAUUUUUUCAAUCCAUACUUCUACGAAUUAUAGUUUAUGAAUAAUAAACAAAAAGUGGUCCAAACCGCAAACGGAUUUGUUUGCCCUAACCGCCAUAACCAUUGGAACUCUUAAAGUAAAAUCAUAGAUUUUGUUAUGUUUCAAAUGUAAUUUAGAUAACAUCAUUUUCCUUCUUGACAUCCACAUUGACAAUUGAUGGACUACAUUGUCAACUGUAAGACCAUACACAAUAGUGCAUGUGUAGCUUGGGUGUGAAUAUUUAAAAAAACCAAAAUAAUAUAAUUGAGGGUGAGGAUACAAGAUUCGGAUGUGAAAUAGCAACUUGUGUUCGUCGGGUGUAAGGCACAGGUGGCGAGGCUUGAGUGGCUGGAAAAAUUUUUAAAAAAAAAAAUCUCUCUCUCCUCUCUCUCUCCGCCGACCAACCCCUUCAUGACACGUGGCUUUCACACCCGAGUGUAACUUAACACUCGUGUGUUGGUUCUAAAGCAACAUUUGCAUUAUUUCUUAAUUUUAAAUUAUUCACACCCAUGUUCGGGUAUACCACUGCGUGUGCCCUAAGGAAUUUUUCUUAACUCUGUAUGCUUUUUUAAGGGAUAAACAGGUGUCCCAUGUUUUGUUUUGUGUUAAUAACAUGUGUCCUAUGUUGAGUCAAUUCCACGUUCGAAGAAGUGCUAAAAAUUGCUAAUAGCCUCGUAUCUUAUUCUAAUUAUAAACUGCCUCAAUAGAUUUAGUUAGUGGUGUGAAUGUGAUUGGUCAUUUUUUGAAGUGGCAAGAGGUCUACCACCUAAUAUUACAAUCAAUCGACCAAAAAGGUCGAGAACAUGAUAAUGGUGGCAAAUACAAAUGGUUCUUUGUUGUCUAAAAUAACAAGCUAUCAAUUGUCAUUUCUUAAAAUUAACUAGCCGACUAAAAACAAGACAGAAAACAAGAUUCUCCUCUUCUUUUUUUUCUUUUUUUUUUUUUCUUUUGGUUAAAAAUACUUUUUGCUUGUUGAAUGUGUUUACUAAAUUUUCGUUUUUAUAAUUAUGUAAUAAAUAAUUUAUAGUUCUUAAUUAGAUAUUUUAGAUUGUCUUCCGUUCGAACCAUCAUUGAAACUACUAUGAUUAGACAGUUACAUGUUUUACCGUAUGAUUAUAUUUAAUCGUUCAUAAUGACAUAUGUCUUCUUCUUAACCUCUAUAACAACAUUUACAAUAGUACUAAAACUUUCAUCAGCAAUCAGAUGUUAAAUCACUUUCUUAUAACAAAAAUUAUGAAUACUAAGUGUGCUAUCUUUUACCUUAGGUUACUCAAACACAUGCUUAAAUUAUAUGGAGAUCUGUCAGUUAAUUAUUGAGAGAAUCUAAGAAAGUUUUUUUUUACUACAACAGUACUAAUAAUAUCUUCACAUACUAUAAAAUAUACAUGUACAUCUUAUAUUCAUUUACACAAAUGUACUUUUUAAACCAACAUCAGCAUACGUAUAUCCCAUCAGGAAACCAAGACUUUUGGGAAUUCAUGGUAUGAAAAUCAAACCAAAUGACAACAUUCGAUUUGAUACUCCCAUGGUAAAGAAAUAACAAAUUCCCAUAUAUUUUCACUGGACUUUCUGAGGCACAUUCCGGUUUUCUCCAUUUCAAGAAAUUGUCAAAUAUAAUCCGGUUUAUUACCUCACAAAAGAAGAGCAUAAAUUACAAAUUAAUUUCCAAAAAGGCAUAUAUGAGAAAUCAUAUUUCAGCAGAUGAACACAAAAGAGUUAAGAACCCACAGAUCACACAAUCUCUGUCCAUGUCUGCUUUUUCCACUUUUUUAAAAUAAGUUCUCUCCAUUUUUUAAUAUAAAUAUAUACUAAUUUUCUUAGAUUUAUCUUCCUGGUCUCUCUUCUGCAGCUUCCCUCUCCCCCAUAACUAUCACUAUUUAGAAUUUUCAAUGUAGAAAAGGAAGCUGAUUGUUGAAGCAUAAAUCCCGGGAGACCACUUUUACAUUUUCAAAUAAUUAAAUUAAAUCAUACAUACACACACAUAUACACACACAUUUACUUACUCUUUUAGGGUUUCCCAAUAAAUUUAUAGUACUUUAUUGUGUUUCAUGAUAUUGAUGAUAAAUGCUAGCUGUAUUUACAUUGCACUUCUUCUUCUUUUUUUCUUUUCUUUUUGUUACUUUCUUUAUUUAUUUUUUAUAGCUAUAUAGCAAAGCCAAAGUGAAUAAUAAUACUAGUGAGAGAAAGAGAAGAUGGAGAGUGGUUCCAACAGCACUUCUUGUCCAAUGGCUUUUGCCGGGGAUAAUAGUGAUGGUCCGAUGUGUCCUAUGAUGAUGAUGAUGCCGCCCAUCAUGACAUCACAUCAACAUCAUGGUCAUCAUCAUCAACAUCAACAACAAGAACAUGAUGGUUAUGCAUAUCAGUCACACCACCAACAAAGUAGUUCCCUUUUUCUUCAAUCACUAGCUCCUCCUCCCCAAGGAACUAAGAACAAAGUCGCUUCUUCUUCUUCUCCUUCCUCUUGUGCUCCUGCUUAUUCCCUAAUGGAGAUCCAUCAUAACGAAAUCGUUGCCGGAGGGAUCAACCCUUGCUCCUCUUCCUCUUCUUCGGCCUCUGUCAAGGCCAAGAUCAUGGCUCAUCCUCACUACCACCGCCUCUUGGCCGCUUAUGUCAAUUGUCAGAAGGUGAUGAGAGAACAAACCCUGAAAAAAAUUAUUCUUUGGAAGCUUCUUCUUAACUCUAAUGAUCCUUAUUUGAUCUUAUUACACAAAGAAGAAGAAGAUUCUAGAAACCCUAAUUACCAAACUUUACCUUUUCUUUCUUUUUAACUUAACCCCUUUACUUGAUGUUUUAGUUUGAUUUUGAUAUCUCCUUUUGUUUACUAGUUACUUAACCCAACUAAAUAUAUACAAACAAAGGAAACAAUUUUUCCUAUUUUGAGAAAAUUUCAAUAAAAUUGUAACUAAAAGUCUAAAAACAAAGAAUUUUUUUAAAAACCCUAUUUUCAAGAGAUUAUCCAUAAUAUUGUAUGAGGCUUGAAGAUUAUGACAUAUUUAUCUUUCAUCAUUUUCUUUACUUUAUGAAAUCUCACAAAGUAAACUUGAGGAUCCUUAUCUUAGUUUAAUUAAUGUUUUUAUGCCUAUUAUGUACUAAUUACACAAAUAUUAAGGUUGGAGCACCACCGGAGGUUGUGGUGAGACUGGAGGAGGCAUGCUCGUCUGCGGCCGCCGCCGCCGCAUCGAUGGGACCAACAGGGUGUCUAGGUGAAGAUCCAGGGCUUGAUCAAUUUAUGGAAGCUUACUGUGAAAUGCUUGUUAAGUAUGAGCAAGAGCUCUCCAAACCAUUCAAGGAAGCUAUGGUCUUCCUUCAACGUGUCGAGUGUCAAUUCAAAUCCCUCUCUCUAUCCUCACCUUCCUCUUUCUCCGGUUACUUUCUCUCUCUAGUCGGUUCUCUGUUUUUUUUUUAAAUUAUUAAAUUGAUUUUUUUGUUAAUUAUGGCGUCAAAUUAAACGUAAGAUGAGAAAAGGUUGUUUUUUUCUUUGUGGGUUUUAAGAAAGAUUUUUCCUUUUCUGAUUUUUCUUGGGUUUAAUACCCCUUUGAUGGUUGUUACUAGGGUUAGGGUCAGAUUGUUAUGUAUAGCUUACUAGGUUUACGUGGAUAAACUAUCUAUACAUAGUUAGUGUAUGUAGAUGUUUUCAUUGAAUUAAAAACAGUUUGUUUACUGUUUUUUUUUGUUUUGUUUGGUAUUGAAUUUAUUUUGCUUUGGUACAACAACAGUCACUAUUCUUGUCUCUUUCUUCUCCGUUUGUUUUGGAUCUAUUUAAUUCAAAUGCAUCAAAAAGAAUAUCUGGAUCUAGACUCUGCUCGUCCUUAGAUCUAUUGCUCAAUUUAGACAUACACAUGUUUUUGUACGUAUAAUCACAUAAACAUAUAUCUACACAAUGUCAUAUCACUCUUUUUUUCAAGAAUGUAGCUAAGUUUGUAUAGACAUAUAAACUCACUUCACAUGGUACGUUGAAUUAGUUGGAUCACUAGCCUAUUCUUUUUUCGUUUCCCUAUACACAAGGUUUGUUGACGAACUUGUCUUGUAUUCACAUGUUUGAUCAACGUAGGUUAUGGAGAGACAGCAAUUGAUAGGAACAAUAAUGGGUCAUCGGAGGAAGAAGUCGAUAUGAAUAAUGAAUUUGUAGAUCCGCAAGCUGAGGAUAGGGAGCUUAAAGGACAGCUCUUGCGCAAGUACAGUGGUUACUUAGGGAGCCUCAAGCAAGAGUUCAUGAAGAAGAGGAAGAAAGGAAAGCUCCCUAAAGAAGCUCGCCAACAAUUGCUUGAUUGGUGGAGCCGCCACUACAAAUGGCCUUACCCUUCGGUAACUUUCUUCUCUUAUACUCUCAUUAAGCGCAUUUGUAUGAUUGCAAAUCAUAGUGAAGAUGAUUACAUUGAACUUAUUUGUCUUUUUAGCUCAUGUUGUUUGUGAUUUUUGCUUCCAUACUAUUGUUAGGGGCAUUAGUUUAUUUAGCUCAUAGUUUCACUGAUUCAUGCAUUGCACAAUUUAAAAUCCUAAUCACGAUGAAUAAUUGAACUUAUCUGGUCAAUAUAAUGUUUUUGAUCUAUUAGUUGAUGACAACUUGAUUCUUGCUAGCUUCCGUACUUUUUAAGGGUCCGUCCGGAUCUUAUGUCAAUUCACCUUAAGAGAAGGACCAAUUUCAUCUUAUGGCUAUACCAUAACUUAGCCUAAACUUUGUUUCACAUAUUUCAAGUCAUAACUUUGGAAAGUAGCUCUAAUGGAAUAGUAGCUUAUGUCUUUAAUACAUUUAUAGUGUCAUUACCUAAGUUCGUAUGCUUUAAGAUGGAUUCUAUGUUACCGUUCCAGUCUACGAAAUCGUUGAUGUAGCUGUGAUCAUGGACGGACCCUUUAUCGUAGAGCAUAAGAAUACAACAUUGUAAAUGUUUAUAAGAAAACUUGAUGAUUGACACGUUUUUUCUUCAUGUGGUUAUGAAUUGGCAGGAGCAACAGAAGCUCGCGCUGGCGGAAUCAACAGGGCUGGACCAGAAACAGAUAAACAAUUGGUUCAUAAACCAGAGGAAGCGGCAUUGGAAGCCAUCUGAGGAUAUGCAGUUUGUAGUAAUGGACGCAACACAUCCUCACCAUUACUUCAUGGAUAAUGUCUUGGGCAAUCCUUUCCCAAUGGAUCACAUCUCCUCCACCAUGCUUUGAUCGAUCCUUGAAAACGUUAUUUUAUUAUAUUUAUAAUCAUUAAACAGCUUAUAAUAUUUAUAAUCUAUGGUUCUCGGUAUAUUUAGGAACAUAGGUAAAAUGUUCCGAUUGAUGAACUAGCGUUUGAUGUUUCCCCGAUAAUGAAUGAUUUGUGGUGUGUAUCCUUUUGUGUUAUGUGAAAUUCCGACUAUUAUAAAGAUAUUAAAAGCUUUUUUGAUCUGUUCUUUUUGAAUUUAAUUUAACUUUUGGAUUUGACAACCGUUUUGAGCUAAUUCGGCUUUAAUACUAUGUAAAAGUUAUGGAAUAUGGACUGCUUUUUAUUUUUGUUGGCUUUGAUCGGUGAACAAAAACUUUAUGAAAAGCAGUAUACUAUAACAUAAACAGUUUUUUUUUGACAAAAACAAAAACAAAUUAAAACGGUUACGAUUAAAUACGGUUAUAGUUAAAUACGGUUGUAAUGGUUACGGUUAAAUACGGUUAUAACGGUUAAGGUUAAAUACGGUUACGGUUAAAUACGGUUACGGUUACAACGGUUACGGAUAAUUACGGUUAUAGUUAUUUGAUGACUACAAUACGGUUAAUAUCGGAGGCGAAAUCUUACGAGUUACCUAACUUAUUAUAAUACUUUUCAUAAAAUCAAAAAGUAUGUUACAAACCAAAUUUUCUUCAUUUCGAGCAAAAUAACAGUAUAACAUAUUUGUUUGAGAAAAGACCAUACGAUUAGCCGCACGGUUAACCGUACGAUUAGCCGUACGGUUAACUGUAUUAUUAACCGCAUAAUUAAACUUUAUAAAAUAUAAUUGUAACUAUGUAUAAUGCAAAAAAAAGUCUCGAAUGUUCAGAUAAAGAUUUCCGAAAAAGUAAAUAAUACAGCCUAUGAAAAAAUCUCAUUAGAAUAAUGGUUUUUUUUCUCAAACAAUUAUUUUGGAAUGUUAUAUUGCUCAAAAUGAAGAAAUUUUUUUAUUUAUUAUAGGACUAGUAAAUUCAUAUUAUUAUUCUAACAAUAAAAUAUUGUUCAUUCUAUAUAAUCUUAAUUUUCAUAUGUAAUUAUAUACUAAAGUACAUUUCUAUAUAAUUUUUUUUCUUUCUAAAUUCUUAAUAUUAUUUAUUAUGUGUACUGCUAUGAUGUUUCCAAUGAGAGUAAAUUUUUAAAAUUUGUUCUGCGUUUUUUUUUGUACAGCUUUCAUGUUUUAUUCUUUUGUACAGCUUUGCACUAUUCCCUAACAGCUAACAGCUCCAGCUAACAGCUAACAGCUUGUUACCAAUCAGACCCGUUGUGUUUUUCUGUGAGAAUGUUGAAGUACUGUUGAUGUGAUAUAAUUAACUAAAUCUUAUUCUCUGAUCCAAAUGUUUAGAUUACCCAGUGUGGAUAUAGGACAUAGCCAUAUAUUAAAACACAAAUCUAAUUCUCUUUAUUAUGUUAAUUUUUCAAUAUACUAUAACUCUAUAAGUUCGUAAACAAUUUACUUAAUAAUCAUCUAGUUGUGUAAAGGAAAUUAAGGUAAAAAUUAAGAAAGAAAAGAAAAGAAAAGACAAUAAUAUUAACAAUAAUUUUGGAAAUCAAUUACAUUUUACACUUUUUGCACACUUAUGGGUUGUUUGGAUGGAAGUUGCGGACGAAGCGGUCAAAACCAUUAGCGGACUAGACCAUUCUAUUUUUGGGAGUGACAAUAAUCUGUUGUAGACCAUAUUCAUUUAUAUGUAAAAACGGUCUAUAGUUGGUCCACUACAGAUUAUGAAUAGUAAAUAAAAGCGGUCUAAUCCACAAACGGAUUUAUCUGCCUUGACUCGUUGUAACCAUUUGAACCCUAGUUUGCUAAUUUUUAAUAUUUAAGACAUUUGAAACAUUCCCCUUGCACAUUUAAGCUAAGAUCGUAGACAUUUAGAAAGUUUACCUUUAUUUGUAAAUAUAUUAUUUUCACUUGUGUUCAUCCGACUAUAUAAAACUUAUACUGUAUUAUUUAUCUCUCUAUAUAAGGGGGUGUAUUGGACUAAACAUUUGGUAUGAUUUGGUGAAAUUUAGAUUUGGAGGAAUAUUAGUAGGAUUUAAGGAAAUUGUAGGUGAUUUGAUCCAAAAUCUAAAAUCCUUUGUCAUUGUAAGUAUAGACUUUUCUAUAAUUACAAAAAACAAAGUUCAGUGAUUUGGUGAGAUUUAUCAUUAUAGAUGAUAUUGGUGUUGUGUGUGAUAAUUUUUCUCUCGUCACCUCCAUAAUGUCAAGUAGUCGAUCAUUUGUUAAGUAAAAAACUGUAUUCUUAUAACAAUCAAUUAAUCGAUACACCGUUUAUGAGAAGAACCAUCAGCACAUCACUGAUUCAUAAGCUCUCUCUCUCACAAGUAACACAUAUGUCACUUUUUUUGGCAUCGUCGUCUUCUGCAAAAAAAAAUCCAUGGAUUAGAAUCUUCAAUCAUUCCCCUAGAUAAUUUACAAACUAAUGAUUUUAGACACAAAGAAAAAAAAAAAGAACUAAUCGAUGAAUUGAUCAUUGAAAACAGAGAAGUAGUCAAAGCCAUGUGGAGGAGAAGAAGAAGAUACAGGGAGGCUUUUGUUUUCACUUUUCAGCAAUUUUUUACAUAAACGUUAUUUUAAAAUUUAUGUGAAGUCUCUCAAAUCCCACUUCUAUAGGUGUAAUUUUCUUGGACUCUAUUUUCAACUAAAAAUGUAUGUAAAGUCUCCUACAAUCUUUUUAAAAAUCCUUUCUUAAAAUUCUUGUUAAUUUUUGAAUAACAGUGGAUUUGAUAUGAGUUUUACUAAUCAUUGAUUGAAUAACAAGGGAUUUUAAAUGAUUUUGAAUGAUUUUACAUAAUUUCAUUUUCAAUAACAUAGGAUUUUGAAAGGCAUUUAAAAAUCAUAAGUUGAAUAACAGGUGAUUUAUAGAAAAAACAAAACUCUUCUAAAAUUCCUAUUUCAAUACACCCUCCUAAGUGAAUAUACCUUUAAUCUCAUUUUUAUGAAAAUAAAUAAUUAUUUUUCCAUAACACAUUUAUUUUCUUAUUCUCAUAAAAUUUAUCAUGGUAUUAGAGCAAUAAUCAACUACUAUAGUAUAAUUCAUUCUCGGAUCUCGAUUCUCGUAUUUUUGGGAUGGACAAGACGAAAGUAAUGAGAGAAUGGUUUUAUUUUAUAUUGCAAAGACGAAAGUAAUGAGAGAAUGUUAUUACUCCCAAAGGCCUGGUCUGGCCCAAACCGACCCCAUCACUGUCCCAAAAAAAGACAGGAUCGGACCAAACUUAAUCCAAUUCUAGUAAUUUUGUCCCUUGGAUUGGAAGUUGAAACGCUUUCUGGUUAUGCAUCUUCACUAACAUUUGAAUUAUCUUGAACCGAUUCAAGCAUAUAUUUAGCAUUGCUGAGAGAGAUUUUUACACAAAAGUAUACGCUUACGAGCUUCUCAAAUCCUUCUUCUAUUGCUCAUCAUCAUCUUCAGUUUUCAACAGCCAUAAUUUGUUCUAUAUCCAAAGGCGAUUCGUUUCAGUUUUUGCAUAGCCACGAUCUUCCCUUUGUGUUUCCACUUGAUUUAACCUGAAACACAAUUCCUUAAGUUAGUGGAAUUGUACUGAUUAACGCCGAACAAUUCGUGUUGUGGGUGAUAAGUGAUGAAUCUAUAUGGAUCUAACAUAAAUUGGAAUAUGAUUUUACAGAUCAAAGAACAAAGAUCCAAUUUUAUCUUGAGACAAAGCAAUGCAACAAGAAAACUAUUGAUCUUCAAGAAGAUAGAGGAGUACAAUCAAGAAGAUAAAUCCGGUCAUCCUCAAGAAGAUAUUUCCAUCAAGAUUUCGAGCGCUAACUAAACCAAGAAACGACUCAAGAAAUCAGUAUCUCCUAAACAAAACUACCUCUCUACUCAAGAUCACUAUCUGUUCUCGCUUCUUCAUCACUUUCUUCGCACAAAUCCUCGGGAGGAUCAUACACAAUCAUUCCAGGGAAAAGCUCCAAGAAAUCAUCUUUCACUUUCUCCCUCAAUUCAGGAUAAGGAACGAGUCCUUUCAGAAUAACUCGAAAAGGCAGAGACAACGGCGGGUCAGGAGAAUCUCUCAUCUCUCCAUACAAUCUUAUUGCUUCUAACGGAAGUUCGUUAUCCAAGAACGCUCGAACAAGGUCGCCAAAUGUAUGCUGAUCAAACAAAACUCCUUCUUUCUUUAAAUCUUCCCAUACUUUCUUGGUUUCAUCCACUUUCUUGUUUCUUGCAAGCAUCAUUAGCAUGUCUCUGUAAAAAAACAUAUCCGGUCUAUACCAUAUUUCUCUUCUCACAACUUCAUAGAGCUGAAACAUCAUAAGAAGAAUAAACAUUACACCAAACUCCAUAUAAACCAAACCAGUUCGGCUAAUUCGAUUCGGAUUCGGUUUACUAGAUACCAAGCGGCAAGAAGAAGUAUGAAAUUGAGUAACUGGUUUGGUUCGGCAUUGCCAAACCGAUAUUACAAAAAAUUUAUCUUAAAUAUAACCGAAUUCACCAACAUAUACAAAAAUUUAUCUUAAAUAUAACCGAAUUCACCAACAUAUACAAAAAUUUAACCGAAAUAUUGAAAAAACGUCAAAUUUUCAAUAAUGAACCAAACCAAUUUUGGUUUUCGGUUCCAUUUCAGCACCAAUUUCCAAACCGAAACAUAAUCAUUAACACUAUCAACAAUCUCCAUAACCAAACUUAAAACUAGGCAUAUGAAACCAAACCGAGAAGCUGAACCAAACCAGUUAGGCUAAUUCGGUUCGGAUUCGGUUUACUAGGUGAAACCAAGCAGCAAGAGGAAGCAUGAAACCGGUUCGGAACUGCCAAACCGAAACUACCUAAAUUUAACCAGAAUCACCGAAAUGUACCAAAUUUAACCGAAAUAUUGAAAAAUGUCAAAUCUUCAAUAAUCAACCAAACCAAAUAUCGUUUUCGGUUCCAUUUCCAAACCGAAACACCGAAAUUUACGAACCGGACCGGACCAAUUAACCCAAACACCCAGAAUUAUCCACACACAGUUCCACAAUUUAACCAAAUUCAUUGAUUAUACAAAAAAAUCCUAAACUGUUACUAAUUUCAAAAUUUAAUUUUUAUUACCUUCAUACAGAGGAAAACUUGGUUUUGUCUCUGAAACUCAGCGAGAACAGAAACAAGAUCGGAUUUAAGGAGACGAGAGACAUGAGAAGCAAUGAAUCGAUCAAGUCGGACUAAUUGGGUUUGGAGUCGCUUGAGCUCUUUGGCAGCGAUUAAACCUUCUUUGCUCAUUUCUUUCUUCCGUCUCCAUAUCGAUAAGCUUGGGCUUGAAGCAGGUCCUGAUUGGUACGUACGAGCCGAAUCAACACUAAUUUCUUUGGGUUUGGAACCAAUUUGGCGAAGAAGAUAAAGAACGAAACUUUGAUGAAUUGAGGAUUUAGCUCUGAACAUUUAAGAAGUUUUCAAGAGUUUCGAGGGUUUCGUUUCGAUACAAUGAGAGCAGAUUUGGGUUUUACAAAUUAUAUUUUCUUAAAACAAUAGCCCGGCCCAUCUUGGCCCAAUAAGAAAUUAUAUGAGAAAUUAAUUGAUUUUUGUACAAAUAAAAAAAUGGUAACUGAUGAAAAUUCAAAUUGAGCCACGACGUGGCAUAUGAUUUCGAAAAUGUGGAUUGAAGAAAAAACAGACUAUGAUCAGUCAAUUGUUAUUUUGAUGGAGCAAAGUAUAUGGUGAAAGAGUUUUAUAGAGGUUAUGAGAGAGAUUGUGGCUAUAUGAGAAUGCAAAUAUUCAUCAUAUAUGUGUUGGAUAUAAAUGUCUAAAUUAAGGUCUUAAACGGUUGGUCGGUAUGCUCUAGACCAGAUUAAAGUCAAACCAGUCCGCUUUUUUUCUAUCAUUCACAUAGUUGUAUGAUAUACUCUAAACCACUCCGGACCAAUAAAAUACAUGUUAGCCCGCAAUAAACAGUAACUGUUCCUAUCCAUAUGUUUCUUUAUACUUUAAAAAUAAAGCGUACUGCAGUACUGAGUUUAGCAUACCAAAAUAUUAGUAUGCAUUGUCUAGUAUGUAGGAGACUGAUCAACCAUUCAAAGGUGUCUUAAAAAUGGUUCUUAGGAAUAUUAAAGUAAUAAAUUUAAAAAUAGCUCUUAAAAAUGGCUCUUAAGUGUGUAUUUGUUUUUUAGGUAAGCAACCCACCUUAGCUUUAAAGCUUAUUUGGGAAUUAAUUUUAAUCAUUUAAUUGCUAAGAUCAUCCUAAGAAAAUUUUAAGAUCUUUCCUUUAAUCAUGGUCUAAGUGAAAAUACUCUUGGAAAAUUCAGUUCACAAUCUUAUCAUUUUUGGUGAGCACAAACUUAGAAAACGAAUCAAAACAUGCCAUGUGUCAUAAGAAUUAAUGAUAAACUAAUUUUGUACCUAUUUUAUUAUAAGUACAUUAUAAAAGAUAAUAUUAAAUUGAAAAUAGCUAGAAUGACAGAUUGUUCAAUACAUAUUUUUUUCUUCUAAAUAAGCUUCCUUUUUUCUUUUUCUUUUUGGUCAGAACUAAGAAAAUAACUUCCUUAUAAGCAAGGGUCAUGACCAUACCAAAUAUGACAAAUUGUAACGCAUAUAAACCUCUAUGGUCACGUUGGUAAUGUGUAUUGUCCAAGAACAUGACUCUCAUUACCCUCUACAUGAUAUAAAUAUCUUAAUUAACGCAAAUGGAGAAUCCUAAUAAGGAUUUAAUGGAAACUAAUCCAAGAAAAAUACGGUCAUAUUGUUACAUAUGGUUGAUAGUAUGCAUAUUUGUAUUGAUUGUUUGUUCAAUAUUGUCCAGAGCAGAAGAAAAAGAAGGAAAAAACGAAAACGAUGAUCAUAUACCAAAGAUUUACUCUGUUUUGGUUGAAGGUGAACCAUUGGCCUUUCGUGCUUCUACUAACAUCAACAGGUUCACAUCAUACAUUAAUUUUUUUUCGAAAUUUAAAGAAAUUAUCAUAUGGAAAUUUUGAAUCUUCUUGGUUUAAUUCAUCUAUAGGUUCUUGUUUCUCAUCUUUCAUGUUCAUUCACUAUAUAUCUUUGACUUGGCCAAUUUUUAAAUUUGUCAUUAUGUAAUUCAUUUAUUUAUUGAGGUAUGACUUUUUUGAUGUUUGAAAAAUAGCAAAGCUAUGGCAUAUGAAGCAAAGAAGAUAGUAGAGAUUCAUGACGAAAUACUUGGAAGCACACUUGAAAAUGGAAGUUAUACAAAGCUUUAUAGCUUCAAACAUGUCAUCAAUGCUUUUGCAGUCCGUACCACUGCUUCUCAGGUCCUUCCUCUUACCUAAAAGAAUAUAUAACUCGGUUUACUUUUUUUUGUUGUUGUUUGAUUUUACUGUUUUCCAAAUUAUAGGAGAGAAAUGACUUCCAAAAUUCACAAACCCUUAGUUUGAUCAAAUCAAAUCAAACCAAACCAAACAUUUUAACAUUUAUUGAGCGAGUUUUGAAUAAUUUAAUAAUUUUCCGUUCAAUUAGGUUUGGUUCAAUCUUUGCUUAAUUUAGGUUGGGUAAACCGGAAACAAUCCUCUUUUUGAUACUUGUAGGCCAAGAAACUAAAGAAAACAAAAGGAGUGAAGGCAGUAGAAGAAGACAAAGGAGUGAAACUAAUGACAACAUACACUCCCGAUUUCUUGGAACUUCCUCAACAAGUCUGGCCUAAGAUCUCCAGUGAAGGUGGCAGACGCGCAGGAGAAGAUAUCGUAAUCGGUUUUGUGGACACUGGAAUUAACCCUACUCAUCCGAGCUUCGCCGCACUCGAUCUCACAAACCCUUACUCAUCAAAUCUCUCACGUUUGAAAUUCUCCGGCGACUGUGAGACCGGUCCUCUCUUCCCCGCUGGAUCUUGUAACGGAAAAAUCAUAUCCGCUAGGUUCUUUUCCGCCGGAGCUCGAGCUUCCGUGGCUCUCAACUCCUCAUUGGAUAUACUCUCUCCGUUCGAUGCCUCCGGCCACGGAAGGUAUAAAUGUCUCUAUCUUUUGAAGGAAUUUUGUUAAAUACCAUUUUGAAUUUGAUGAAUCACUUUUCAAACAUACCAUCAAGGUAAACUCUACUCAAAAUAUAUCACUAGUCAACUAUUAUAAAUACAUGUCUAUAUUUUUUAGUCAACUACUAAUCUAUUUUUUCAUUUGGUGAACUAUAAAGAUAUGUUCAUAUUUUGUUGGGAGAAUAUUGAGAUGGGCCUGUGGAGUUGACUCUAAAUAUUUACAGUAAAUAUUUUUGGUUUCAAAAAUUAGGUUGUAAAAACAAUAACUUAUGUUAAAGUCUUAACGGCCAUAUUUUGGGGUAAAUUAUGUCUUUAUGUGUUUGUAAAGUGGUCUAUACAUUGUUUUGUAAGUUUGUUAUGCAUUGUAUGUGUUGCAUAAGUGUUUACUACUUGGUCGUUUGGUUCAGCCACGUGGCAUCUAUCGCAGCCGGCAACGCUGGUGUUCCAGUGAUCGUCGACGGAUUCUUCUACGGACAAGCCAGCGGUAUGGCCCCACGUGCACGGUUCGUCACAUCAUUCAGAUUAAUUAGCUCAUAUAAUAGAAGAUUGAAGCCUAAAUGAUACUAUGUUCGAGUUAUUUUUAUUUGUUCACGUGGCAGAAUAGCUGUUUACAAGGCGAUUUAUCCAUCAAUUGGAACUCUUGUUGACGUAAUUGCAGCCAUCGACCAAGUAAACAAUGCUCUAUAAACAAGACUAUAACCUGCGAUCUUUAAUCAAUUUUAUUUACUUAUUUUAAUUUUGUCACGCAGGCAAUUAUGGACGGCGUAGAUGUAUUGACACUAUCGGUGGGACCGGACGAACCACCGGUGGAUAAACCGACGGUACUCGGGAUAUUCGAUCUAUCAAUGCUAUUGGCUAGAAAGGCUGGGGUAUUUGUGGUGCAAGCCGUAGGGAAUAAUGGCCCGUCACCGUCUUCUGUCUUGUCUUAUAGUCCGUGGGUCGUCGGGGUUGCCGCAGGAAGUACGGACCGGUCUUAUCCUGCCUCCCUUAUUCUUGACGGUGGCCAGACCGUUUAUGGCGUCGGCCUAUCAGGUAAAAAUCUAAUUCACUUUUAUUUAUUUUUUAAAUGACUUAAACUCUAUACGUAAAUUGGUUAUGAUAUUCAUAAUUUUAUUUUUCUUUUUACAUUUUGAAAUUAAAGGUCCAACCCUUGGAGCUCCAUUACUUCAACACAGGCUAGUCUUAGCCAGAGACGCUGUUAGAACAAACGGCUCGGUUCUACAACCCCUAAGAAGUGACAUUGAAGAAUGCCAGCGUCCAGAGAAUUUUGACCCAGCCGCGGUUUUUGGAACUAUUGUGAUAUGUACAUUUUCUGAUGGCUUCUACAAUCAGAUGUCGACCGUUCGAGCCAUCACCCAAACCGCUAGGAAUCUUGGUUUCAUGGGUUUUAUACUCAUUGCAAAUCCUAGAUUCGGUGAUUAUGUUGCAGAACCAGUGUUAUUUUCGGCUCCUGGUAUUCUAAUCCCUACAGUAUCAGCUGCCCAGGUAAUUUCAUCAAUAAAUCCAUCAUAAACAUUGCAAGAAAUAACAGUGCUUUCUUUAGGUAAAGUAAUAGAAAUAAUUGUCAUAACAUAGUUUUGGGCGAAAAAAUAUUCGGCUCCUUGUUUAUGUUGAACUAUUUGACACAAUAAAAAUAGUAGACAUAAGUAUUGAUCAGCAAGAGAAGCCAAAAGAUUAGGCAGUAAAUGUUAUAAGAAGGAUAUAUAGUAGAAUCUAGCAAAUAUAUAAGUUCGAAUAUGUAAUUUGUUGUGGAGGAAGAAGACUAUAUUACAUAGUAUGUUACUUAGUAAUAAUGAAAUCCACAUUUAUGUGUAGCAAUGAACUUGAGUGGAGUACGUCACUACAAACUGACCAUUUGAUUUGCAUUGUAAUUAUAUUUCAAGGUUUUCCUCUACAUAUAUUGAGACUUUAUCAUGUUAGAUUAUUUUGAGGUACUACGAAGAGAAAACCUACAGAGACAAGAGAGGAAUAGUGACACAAUUUGGGGCACGUGGAAGAAUUGAUGAAGGACGGAACUCGGUCUUCGCCGGAAAAGCACCGGUCGUGAGCAGAUUCUCUUCGAGAGGACCAGCUUUUAUUGAUGCAAAUCGGAAUCUUUUAGAUGUGCUUAAGCCAGAUAUUCUUGCACCUGGUCACCAAAUAUGGGGAGCCUGGAGCCUCCCUAGUGCCUUUGAUCCUAUUCUCACUGGUUUUAACUUCACACUCCUCAUAUUUUGUUAUCUUAUGAAAUAUACUCCCAUAAGUUUAAAAUUGAUCAUUUUUUGAGUAGGACGGAGCUUUGCAAUAUUGUCGGGAACAAGCAUGGCCACUCCUCAUAUAGCGGGGAUUGGUGCACUCAUAAAACAGCUUAAUCCUUCUUGGACUCCGGCCAUGAUUGCAUCGGCCAUCUCCACCACGGCCAACGAAUACGACAGUUCUGGUGAAGUUAUAUCAGCGGAGUCUUAUGAAAUAAGUGGAUUAUUUCCUUCUAAUCAUUUCGAUCAUGGCGCGGGCCAUGUUAAUCCUGCUAGAGCCUUAGAUCCUGGACUGGUUUUACCCGCUGGUAAGUUUUUUACAUAUCAUGGGAAAGAAAUGAUAAAUUACAAAUUUUGUGCUAUUGAUGUAGUAAAACAAAAAAAAUUAUAGUUAACUUUUGUAAUAUCAUUAUUUUUUGUGGCAUUGGACCAGGUUUUGAAGACUACAUAAGUUUCUUGUGUUCACUGCCAAACAUUAACCCGGUCACAAUUCGAGCCGCAACUGGAGUCUCGUGCACCACUGCACUUAGCCACCCGGCGAACCUUAACCAUCCGUCAGUGACUAUAUCUGCCCUUAAAGAGUCACUUGUGGUGAGAAGAAGUUUCCAAAACGUCUCAAACAAGACUGAGACAUAUCUUGGUUCGGUUUUACCUCCCAAUGGUACAACUGUACGGUUAACCCCAUCUUAUUUUACCGUACCACCACAGAGAACUCAAGAUCUGGAUAUCGAAUUCAAUAUCACACAAGUCUUAACCAAGUUCACAUUUGGUGAAGUUGUUCUUACCGGAAGCUUAAACCAUAUUAUAAGAAUACCGUUGUCAGUUAAAACCAUUUGAAAACAUAAAAUUUUCUUGUUUCUUGUCGAUCUCAUUUAAAAUAAGGUAUUUAUUUUUACUUUUUUUCUUCCAACGAAAUGGUUAUUGACACUUUAUAUAAUAGGAACGAACAUAAGUUUUUUCAUAUAAUGAUUGGAGUUAUUUUCUUUUUUUUUCAACGGCUCUCACUGAUUUAGCCACAUAUAGUGUAAACAAUAUACUUACUCAAAUAAAGUGCAAGCGUACUUCGUUACAAGCUACUAAAACCGUGUGAUGGUUGAGAGAAAUACAAUCUAAUUACACCUAUGAAAGGAUCAAAGUAUAAUUACACAUAUGAGCCUAGUUAUACAUAUAAAAGGAUCACACUAUGAUUACACAUAUGAGCCUAAUACACAUGAAAGUGUCAUGCAGAUAUGAAAUCUUUAAAGAUCUAAGAUGUUUCGACAAUAUAUAUGUUGAAUUAUAUACUUAAUUAGACCAAAAAUUCAUGACGAUACUAAUAUUGUGGUCUAGGAGGGCGUGGCCCAAGAGGUCCUGAAAACCAAGUAGCCCCGGGAGGUGGAGGUGGUGGGUCAGGUCCCGGAGGAGGUGGAGGAGGUGGCUGAGGUCCUGGAGGAGGUGGAGGAGGGCGAGGCUCUGGAGGCCGUGCUCUUGGUGGCGGUGAAUGGUGGAAAGGAGGAGAAGGAGGACGAUGAGGAGGAGGAUGAGGCAUUUUGUGCUUUGUUAUUGCAAUAUC
This 65599-nucleotide long non-coding RNA is filed under the name Arabidopsis lyrata. RNAcentral's name for it is "long non-coding RNA (ALYR_LNC002632)". The record is from RNAcentral. Lineage: Eukaryota; Viridiplantae; Streptophyta; Magnoliopsida; Brassicales; Brassicaceae.